UGGAGUCUAUGGCGUGGAGUCAUGGAGGUCUCGUUGGCCCAAGUGGUGCCGUCCCCGGCGCCGGCGAGGCUGAAUCCAUCGGGGUGCAGAUAGUUCGGACCCGAUUGCAAUCUUCUUCCCUUGUUCGGGGUCUUGUUUGCAUAAUGCAAGGCCUAGUUUGUAAUUUUGUGUUUCCAUGGGGUCCUGUUGUAAAAUGUACUAUCAUGCUUAUCAAUGGAUGACUGGGUCCUUCUGGACCCUUCCCUUGUUCAAAAAAAAAAAAAACUCCUGCACACACAAAAUAAAAAGGUCAUGAACAGAUAAACUCCGAGCCAGCCCGAAGCUGACAGCUAAGGACAAGAACGUACGUGACCUAUGGGCCAUGGUGUGCUACUGCUAAAAAGAGUCUUUAAUUUUCCUUUUUAAGGGAUGGGCCUCUUGCUUUUUUUGGUGCAAAAGGUUUGCAGUCCUGCUGGCUGUACUACACUAACUUGGCGUGUCAAGCACUGUAGCUAGUACUAGCUCGUAGGUAUGUACUGUUCUCCCAGCCAACACGACAGCCUGCCUCCUAGAUGGUGCACGACAGCUCUGCAUGAUGGAGGCUGACACGAGACUGCAGUGCCACAACAACAUUGGUGGCGAGCCUCUCCGAUGCGUUGCAUGCAUCAUUUGGGGAUGGAUCUGUGUAGGUCACGUCGAUCUGGCCCAACGAAAGGCAUACAAAUUUCGUUCAUGUUUGAAUAUUUAGGGCUUCUUUGUUCAAAGGAUUCUCAAAGAAAUUUUGGAGGAUUUCAAUCCUUAUAAAUUUUUUUCUACGUGGGUUGUUUGAUUCGUAGAAUUGUAAACCAUAUGAAUUUUUCCAUAGGAUUCAUUUACACUAGAUUUCAUAGGAACUUUUUCAUCCACUCAAACCUCUUUGAAAGAAUCCUACGUUUUUUCUAUGCACAAUCAAACACUCGUACAAUCCGAUAGGAUUCAAGACGACAUAUCACUCUAAUCCCACGUUUUUUCUAUUCCUACGUUUUGGAAAUCCUGCGAAUCAAAGAGGCCCUUAGUGUGAAAACUAAAACAAUUCCACUUAAGACGAAACCUUAAAAAGAACAACUCUGAAACAAAUUCCCCCGUUCAAACAUUUUCAGAAGUUGCAUAAACAUUUUAUCAUGCACACUUGAAUAUUUUAUUAGGUGAGUACGUAAAUUUUGCAUUGAUUUUGAAACAUUUCCUUAAAUUUUGUUUCCAUACAAAGUAUUUUCCAUCUCUAUAUGUAUUGAAUUUUGUUUUUUUAUCUGGCACUCAAAUUUUUAGUAAAGUGCGUGAACAUUCUUUUGACGCACACUAGUAGAAAACCCCCUAUUAGUCCCGGUUGGUGAGGGCCUUUUGUCCCGGUUCUUGAACCGGGACUAAAGGGUCGUUACUAAUGCCCUAGACCUUUAGUCCCGGUUCUAACAUGAACCGAGACAGAUGGGCCUCCACGUGGCCGGUGCGCCGACCUUAGGCAGGAGGGCCUUUGGUCCCGGUUGGUGGCACCAACCAGGACCAAAAGGCAUCCACGCGUCAGCNNNNNNNNNNNNNNNNNNNNNNNNNNNNNNNNNNNNNNNNNNNNNNNNNNNNNNNNNNNNNNNNNNNNNNNNNNNNNNNNNNNNNNNNNNNNNNNNNNNNNNNNNNNNNNNNNNNNNNNNNNNNNNNNNNNNNNNNNNNNNNNNNNNNNNNNNNNNNNNNNNNNNNNNNNNNNNNNNNNNNNNNNNNNNNNNNNNNNNNNNNNNNNNNNNNNNNNNNNNNNNNNNNNNNNNNNNNNNNNNNNNNNNNNNNNNNNNNNNNNNNNNNNNNNNNNNNNNNNNNGUACUGUACAUAGAGAGGCCCUCGACACGCUAGCUAGUAAGAAAAUGAAGGAAAUCAUUAAGUACAGAAGUUCGUCAUGCAUACCGAGAGAAGUGAUCGAUCGACCUCUCCUUCUCCGAGAGAUUGGUCGAACAACAAGUUUUCGUAUUAUCUACCCAACGCUACUGGCUACAUACAUAUACAAUAUAUAAGAUCUCUUACAAUCCCCUAGCAUUUGAAAUCAACUUUCACAUGGUAUUCUCCGGCUUUAUUGAUGAUGUGGUCAAAAAAGAAUCCCGCCAAUUCCUCUUGAAUUGCUUUCAUGCGAUCUUGUUCUAGGUGUUCAUUCCGCAUCUGCCACGUCUAAUUUGAAGAAGGGGGUUAAUACAUAUAUGAAUGAAACUCAACAAAAAUGAUGGUGUAAUAAAAUGAAAUUGUGAAUAUUAUUGCUUACACACUUCAUAUUGUCUUUUAGAGUAGCCCCGCUUAUUUUUCAAAGUCGCCUUGUAGAUGAACUCGCACACGUAGUAUCCAUAUAAAUUAUUUCCUUCUUCCUUCCACAAGCACUUUACGAGAAAUAGAGGUCAAUCAAACUGGUAAUGAAGCAUUAUAAAUGGCAUUGAUGAAAGUAUAGCUAUAGAAUCAACGGGAGAUGCGCGCAACUAGCUAGCUAGUAGUACUUACUUUUGGGUAUGUAUAUCGCAGCUCCUUCGGCAGUCCCAGAGCUUCUGCGGUGAACUGUUUCCAAACCCUGCAAGACAAAGAAAAUAAUUAUUAUUACUUGAGAUACCAGGAAAUAAACAAAAAGUUGCCGAUAUGGUGCGAUAAUGAUCAAUUGAACUUACUUUGUUGAGCAAUUUAGUCAUGUCCGCAUAGGUUUCGGGAUCUUUUCGUCUCGAGUCUAAGACGGUUACUAGUCCCCGCUCAAGCUUAAUCUCCAGAAGAACAUAGUGGAAGCUGUGCACGCAUGCAUAACUCAUCAAUUACAUUACUAUAACCUCGCUCGAGUAAUAAGGGAAAUUUAACACUCACUUGAAGUUGUAAGGAAAGAGUAUUAAAUCUUUGUUUUGAUUUUUGAUCAACGAUUGUAGCAAGUUGGCCUCGGCCUCUGCAGCCUUCUUUUUAACCUGAAAUUCAUCUAUGAUAUUUGUGUUAAUGAACCCAAUAUCAUACAUUUCUUAUUUUUUUGCACUCGAAGAUCUUCAAUCUGCAUAAUAUAGUGAGGAUAAUUAAUUAUAAAUACAUGCAAUGAAAGAGCCGAGCUAUAUAUAGAGACUUAAUGACAGAAAUAGUACUUACAGACAGUAGCAAAAGACCGUUAAUUUAUCGAGGGCCUUUUGAUUGAAGAACUUGAAGAACUCCUCAAAUGGAACAGGCAACAGAUCAGCUCCAACGAGGUCGUGCUCCUCUUUAAUUCUCAGAUACAAAGUAUUCGUCCCCCCAGACUCUCUGCAGAUUUUCAUGUACCAAUUAUGGAAUCUUCGCAUCAUCGUUGUUAGAGAUUUUUCAUCUUUGACGAGAGGCUUCCCAUACUCGUAUCUGUGUUCAUCCACCUUCAAGAAAUCAAAAUGUACAUCGUCAGGCAGGUAAUCUCCAAGAUUGCUAUAACAGGGCACCGUCCCCGGAGCAUUAGCGACGAUGUCGCUAGACACAUUGAGCGGAGGGCACGAUUGCUUUGCUUGUUCGCCGAGCUGGGCAAUUUUUUUCCCAGCUGCUCGUUCUUUUAACCUUUGAUCACUGACAGUACUUCCCGACCGCUCUGCUUGGAGAUAUGCUUUUUCAGUAAUGCGCUCAUAGUUGGUUGUCGGCGGAGACUUUGGUGGUUUCCUCAGGGCAUCGAUAGUGCGCUUUGCUUUCACCGGAUCUACCUUCUCCUCCGGAGGUGGAUGUCUCUUUGCUUUCAACCCUUCAAAGAAGUCCUUCACUUCGGUCUGCACGAUCUUCAUAUUUUCCUCCUCGGUCCUCUCGUAUGGUAACUUCUCUAGAGGCUUGAGAGAUGGACCGUAUCUGUAUUGCCUCCCGCCUCUGGCUGUACUGCUAGAUGCCGGAGCAGACGAAGUGGCUGCGGCUAUCUUCUUUCGUGCUUGCUUACGAGGCGGGGGAGAAGGACUACGACGCGCCGGAGCAUCCGGGGCAGCAGUGGGUCUCUUUUGCCCUUGCUGGCGAGGCGGAAAAGGAGGAGGAUGCUGGCUGCUCUGGCGCGCCGGCGCAGGCGGAGAAGGAGGCGGAGUGCCGCCACGCGCCAGAGAAGGAGGCUGAGUACCCUGAUCGUCACUCGCCAGAGGAGGAGGCGGUGGAGGAGGCGGAGUGCCCUAACUCGCCGGAGGAGGAGGAGGAGGCGGAGGCGUCCAGUUCGGAAGGUUGAUGAACUCCUUCCGCCAUAGGCAUGGAGUCUUCAGAGCAGAACCCAGCAGAGUUCCCCCUUCACCGGUAGGGUGGUCAAGCUGGAGGUCCUCAAAUCCCUCUGUUAUUUCGUCCACUGUCACCCUAGCAUAUCCUUCUGGAAUCGGACGACAGAGAAAAGUUGCGCCGGGUUUAGAAGGUCGAACAGAGCCGACAGCCGCCUUGACUUUUAAGUUCUGCCAUUGCGUCAUAAGGUGGCAAUUUUGAGACUCCGUGACAGCAUCCACGGGGUAGCUAGCAGGAGCCGUCAAGACAUGCUCCGGCUGAAGCAGCUCGGUGGAAGCCAUGCUGCUUCUCCGCUAAGAUGGCGGGGUAGCUUCGGGGGAAGCUUCGGCAGUUCAUUUGCUGCGAUUUGUUUCUCGUUCCUCUAUCGCUUGUAUCCUUGCGUGCAGCGCCUGCAGUUCAGUCUGCUGCACUUUCUUCCUCCUCUCCUGGCAUUUGUAACCGCCUGCGUCCGGAAACCCAGCCUGCCACGGAACGGAGCCUGGCGUGCCUCGUGUCCGUCCAGGGUGCUCAGGAUUCCUGAGGGCCAUUGUGAGCUCGUCGUUCUCUCUAUCUGGAACGAACGUCCCUUCCUGCGUUACAUCUAUAUAGUGCCGAAGCCUCUUGACUGGUAUUUUCAAUUGCUUGUCCGUCCAAUGGCACUUCCCUGAUACAGGGUCCAAGGUUCCGCCAGCCCCGAAGAACCAAGUCCGGCAACGGUCUGGCCAACUCAUUGUCUCUGGUUCGAUCCCUUUAUCAAGCAGAUCAUUCUCAGCCUUGCCCCACUUAGGCCGGGCUUUGAGGUAGCCACCUGACCCCGUGCGAUGGUGAAGCUUCUUCUUCGCAGCAUUUUGCUUGUUUGUCGCCGACAUCUUUUUACUCUUUUCCGAUGUCUUGUGGGCCACAAAUGCGGGCCAUUGAUCUUUGAUCUUCUCAUAUUUGCCGAUGAAUUCCGGUGUCUCUUCUUUGUCGACAAACUUUUUCAGCCCAUUCUUCCACCUCCUGAAUAGGUCUUCCAUCUUCUUAAGAGCAUGAGACUUGAUUAAUUGCUCUUUAACUGGCUUCUCCGGAUCCUCCUCUGGCGGUAGGUUGAAAUUUGCUUUCAGCUCAGUCCAAAGAUCAUCUUUCUGCAUAUCAUUGACAUAAGACACCUCAGGGUCUUCGUUCUUAGGCUUAUACCAUUGGUGGAUGCUGAUCGGGAUCUUGUCCCUAACAAGAACCCCGCACUGAGCAACAAAUGUGUCCUUUGUCCGGAUGGGUUCAAUCUGUUCACCGUCGCGCACGAUUGCUAUGAUCUCAAACCUUUCAUCUGAGCGCAACUUUUUCUUCAGGCCUCGUCUCUUUACCGAAGUUGUGCUCGAUCUGGAGGGCUAGAAAAAAGAAGAAAGACGAGAGUUAAUUAAUAUGUGUACAUAUAUACCAAAACAAUGAAUGCAUCAAUUAGCUAGUCAGCACAGGAUUAACUAAUAUAUAUACCUAGACGGACUCGGUUCGGUCACCGGAGCCGUCAUCACGGUCUCCUUCUUGCACCGUCAUUGGGUCACCGGAGCCAUCAUAAUCAUGUCUUUCCUCCUCCAUUCUUCGUUCACCGUAGCCUACUUCUUCACCCUGUUCUUCCAUACCAUCAUUAUCGUUAAUAUACGAGAAGAUAUCACCUCCGGCUAAGAUUAUUUCCCCCAACACCUCUUCUGCUUCCUCGUCUCGUAUGUGCUCCAUUGUUUCUGCAAAUAUUACAACAUGGCAAUUAUUACACAAACAUGACAACAGGUGGAUAUAUUGGUGGCAAACAUAGACCGAGCUUAUUCCGGGUUUGGGGGUGGCCUCGGCAACGCUUCAAGGCUAGGGGCGCGGCGGGAGGGGUAGGAGACCGACAUCGUUUUCCCCCUAGGGUUUGGGUGUCCUCAAGAGUUUUGGUCAAGCGAGAGGGGGUGGCCUCGAGAGAGUUUGUCGGGUAGGUGCGCGACGGGAGGGGGUAGGAGACCGACAUCGUUUUUUCUAGGGUUUGGGUGGCCUCGAGAGUUUUCGUACAAGUUAUCACAGUCGAGAGGGGGUAAUAUCGACAACGACGACAUACAUACACGGGAAAAUAAUGUUAUCGGGGGGUAUAUCGACCCCCCCCCCACGUGUUGAAGUUAUUGGGAGGGGGUUAUAUCGACAACGACGACAUACGUACAUGGGAAAAUAAUAUUAUCAGGGAGGGGGUAUAUCGACCCCCCCUCGUGUUAAAGUUACCGGGAGGGGUAUAUCGACGAUGACAGACCCGAUAAAACAUAAGAAAACGAAGAAGAAAUAAAAAGAGAAGAAGAAGAAAGGAAUAGAUCGAGUAGAAGAUCAAGAAGAAAAAAGAAGAAGAAAUAAUAGGAGAAUAAGAAAGGAAUAGAGGAGAAGAAGAAUCUAUUUUUUCUUCUUCUCCUCUAUUCCUUUCUUCUUCUCCUCUUCUUUUUCUUCUUUUUUCCUCUUCAUAUUUAUUUCUCCUCUUCUUCUCCUUUCUUCCUCUUCUUAUUUUCCUUUUUCCUCUCAUUCUUUUUCUUCUUCUUCCUUUCCUAGCUAGAUAUAUAAAACUUUCUAAAAAUGUAACUUUUGCAUAUAUAUAAAACUUUUUCUUCUUCCUUCUUCUUCCUUCUAUUCCUUCUUCGUAAAUAUAUAAAACUUUUCUAAAAAUGAAACUAACCUAAUACACCAACAUAUAUGCAAAAAAACAUACAUACAAAGCAUAUAUCCAUACAUCAACAUAUAUGCAAAAAAACAUUACAUCAACAUAUAUGCAAAAAACAUACAUAUAUCAUCAACAUAUAUGCAAAAAAAGCAUCACUAUGGGCGGCGGUGGUGGCAGGGGGCAGGGCAGGGCGCGGGGGCUCACUAUGAGCGGCGUCGAUGACGGCGAGGUCGGGGCCGGCUGAGGCAGAGGCGGUGGCGUGCGAGGCAGGGGGCGACGUCGGGGCGACGCAGGGCGGCGACGGUGUCGGGGCGNNNNNNNNNNNNNNNNNNNNNNNNNNNNNNNNNNNNNNNNNNNNNNNNNNNNNNNNNNNNNNNNNNNNNNNNNNNNNNNNNNNNNNNNNNNNNNNNNNNNNNNNNNNNNNNNNNNNNNNNNNNNNNNNNNNNNNNNNNNNNNNNNNNNNNNNNNNNNNNNNNNNNNNNNNNNNNNNNNNNNNNNNNNNNNNNNNNNNNNNNNNNNNNNNNNNNNNNNNNNNNNNNNNNNNNNNNNNNNNNNNNNNNNNNNNNNNNNNNNNNNNNNNNNNNNNNNNNNNNNNNNNNNNNNNNNNNNNNNNNNNNNNNNNNNNNNNNNNNNNNNNNNNNNNNNNNNNNNNNNNNNNNNNNNNNNNNNNNNNNNNNNNNNNNNNNNNNNNNNNNNNNNNNNNNNNNNNNNNNNNNNNNNNNNNNNNNNNNNNNNNNNNNNNNNNNNNNNNNNNNNNNNNNNNNNNNNNNNNNNNNNNNNNNNNNNNNNNNNNNNNNNNNNNNNNNNNNNNNNNNNNNNNNNNNNNNNNNNNNNNNNNNNNNNNNNNNNNNNNNNNNNNNNNNNNNNNNNNNNNNNNNNNNNNNNNNNNNNGCUUAUAUAGCAAAGCCAUUGGUCCUGCUUCAUGGCACCAACCAGGACCAAUGCCCCCUUUAGUCCCGGUUGGUGCCACUAACCGGGACCAAAGGCCAGUUUUCGGCAGCCCAAAGGGCGGGAAGCAGGGGCCUUUGGUCCCGGUUGGUGGCACCAACCGGGACUAAAGGGUGGGCAUUGCUACUAGUUGGUGCCACGAACCGGGACCAAUGCCCCUCUUUAGUCCCGGUUGGUGCCACGAACCGGGACCAAAGGCCCCUGCACUGCCCGCUUCGCGGCCAAAGUUUAGUCCCACCUCGCUAGUUGAGAGGGGCUCGUAGUGGUUUAUAAGCCCCACUGCGGCUACCCUCUCGAACUCCUCUCAAAUGCAGGCUUACGGGCCUAAUCUCAUACUGUGCUGCCUGUGGGCCUACUGGGCCUUCUGCGGGCCUGAAUCCUGGCCCAGGUUGGGUUUCUAGUCGUAUUCAGGCCGUGGUGGCCCAAUAGGUGGCAGUUUUUUUAUUUUUUUUCUAGUUUUUUUGUUUUGUUUUUUGCAUCAUUUAUUUUCUUUUGUUUUUUGCUUUAUUUUUUAAUUAUUUUUGCUUUUAGGUCAGAAAAAUUAUAAACUUUCGGUUAGUGCCAUUACUUUUGAAAUUUGAAUAGUUAAAAUUUGAAUUCUUUGAAAUUUGUGUGAAUCGCAAGUUUGUGAUUAACUUUACUAUAAAAAUAGUUUUUUCCAGUUUUNNNNNNNNNNNNNNNNNNNNNNNNNNNNNNNNNNNNNNNNNNNNNNNNNNNNNNNNNNNNNNNNNNNNNNNNNNNNNNNNNNNNNNNNNNNNNNNNNNNNNNNNNNNNNNNNNNNNNNNNNNNNNNNNNNNNNNNNNNNNNNNNNNNNNNNNNNNNNNNNNNNNNNNNNNNNNNNNNNNNNNNNNNNNNNNNNNNNNNNNNNNNNNNNNNNNNNNNNNNNNNNNNNNNNNNNNNNNNNNNNNNUUUUGUUUUGUUUUUUGCAUUAUUUAUUUUCUUUUGUUUUUUGCUUUAUUUUUUAAUUUUUUUUGCUUUUAGGUCAGCAAAAUUAUAAACUUUCUGUUAGUGCCAUUAGUUUUAGAAAAAAUAUUUUCUUUUUUUUGUUUUCUUUGUUGCUUUAUUUAUUUUAUUUUGUUUCUACUUACAACAAAAUACUUAUUGUUGCUAUUUUUAUUUAUUUUAUUAAAGUUUAUGUUUAAUUAAUUUUCUUUUAAGUCACAAAAAUUAUAAACUUUCUGUUAGUGCCAUUAGUUUUCAAAUUUGAAUAGUUAUAAUUUGAAUUCUUUGAAAUUUGUGUGAAUCACAAGUUUGUGAUUAACUUUACUAAAAAAAUGAGCAUAGAUGCGCCUAUAGAGAAAAUCAACCUAAAUUCAUAAUAAAUUUCUAUGAAUUUCAGAGAAAUUCAGUAUGAAUUUAGGUCAAAUUCCCUGUAUAAGGGCAUCUAUUUUCACUUUGAGAGGAGCUCAACAAGGCAGAGAGGGAGGGGCUUAUAAACCGGUGUGAGCGCCCUUCGGUUGGUGAGGUGGGACUGAACUCUGACCGCAACGAGGACCAACCCUUUAGUCCCGGUGGGACUAAUGGUCAUGGGCCAUGGGCGAGGCGCAUUGGUUCCGGUUCGUGCGUGGAACCGGGACCAAAAGGUCCAGACGAACCGGGACCAAUGGCCCACGUGGCUGCCCUCUUGAGUGUUCUUGGUGAGAACAUAGUUGACAAGGAGCGAACCGGGAUUAAUGGUAUUACGAGGGCCGAACCAUAAGACAUUAAAGCAUUUCAAAUGAACUCUGAAAAAGUUGAAAGUUGGCAUGGUAUCAUAAUUUCACCCACAUAGCAUGUGCAUGUACAAAACGGACAAUGGUAUCAUACUUGGGUCAGCCUUGCGGGAGAAAGUCUUCACUUUUUCUUCGCUUGUGUCAUUUGCUUAUUGCGUCGUAACCAUGGAUAAUCUUCAUCGUUUAUCAGGAUGCUUGGGUCAGCAUUGACUUUGAAGGGAGGAAUUUCAUGAAACAUUUCAUAAUCUUCAGACAUGUCUGUCUUGCCCUCCACUCCCACGAUGUCCCUUUUUCCUAAAAGAACUAUGUGGCGCUUUGGCUCAUUGUAUGAUGUAUUCGCUUCCUUAUCUUUUCUUUUUCGCGGUUUAGUAGACUUGUCCUUCACAUAGAUAACCUGUGCCACAUCAUUGGCUAGGACAAACGGUUCGCCAGUGUACCCAAGAUUAUUCAGAUCCACUGUUGUCAUUCCGUACUGUGGGUCUACUUGUACCCCGCCUCCUGACAGAUUGACCCAUUUGCACUUAAAUAAAGGGACCUUAAAAUCAUGUCCGUAGUUAAGUUCCCAUAUGUCCACUAUGUAACCAUAAUAUGUGUCCUUUCCCCUCUCGGUUGCCGCAUCAAAGCGGACGCCGCUGUUUUGGUUGGUGUUCUUUUGAUCUUGUUCAAUCGUGUAAAAUUAAUGUAUUCGCAUUUAUCUCGUAUCCUUUGUAAAUCAAUACAGUCAAAGAUGGUCCCCUGGACAACAAGUACAGCUCAUCACAAACAGUCUUGUCACCUCCGAGACGUGUUUCCAACCAACUGCUGAAAGUCCUGAUGUGUUCACAUGUAAUCCAGUCGUCGCACUGCUCCGGGUGUUUGGAGCGCAGACUGUUCUUGUGUUCAUCGACAUACGGGGUCACCAAGGUAGAGUUCUGUAGAACUGUGUAGUGUGCUUGAGACCAAGAAUAUCCGUCCCUGCAUAUUAUUGAGUCCCCUCCAAGUGUGCCUUUUCCAGUCAGUCUCCUCUCAUACCGCGAUUUAGGGAGACCUAUUUUCUUAAGGCCAAGAAUGAAGUCAACACAAAACCCAAUGACAUCCUCUGUUUGAUGGCCCAUGGAGAUGCUUCCUUCUGGCCUAGCGCGGUUACAGACAUAUUUCUUUAGGACUCCCAUGAACCUCUCAAAGGGGAACAUAUUGUGUAGAAAUACGGGCCCUAGAAUGACAAUCUCGUCGACUAGAUGAACUAGGACGUGUGUCAUGAUAUUGAAGAAGGAUGGUGGGAACACCAGCUCGAAACUGACAAGACAUUUCGCCACAUCACUCCUUAGCCUUGGUACGAUUUCUGGAUCGAUCACCUUCUGAGAUAUUGCAUUGAGGAAUGCACAUAGCUUCACAAUGGCUAAUCGGACGUUUUCCGGUAGAAGCCCCCUCAAUGCAACCGGAAGCAGUUGCGUCAUAAUCACGUGGCAGUCAUGAGACUUUAGGUUCUGAAACUUUUUCUCUGCCAUAUUUAUUAUUCCCUUUAUAUUCGACGAGAAGCCAGUCGGGACCUUCAUACUAAGCAGACAUUCAAAGAAGAUUUCCUUCUCUUCUUUGGUAAGAGCGUAGCUGGCAGGACCUUCAUACUGCUUUGGAGGCAUGCCGUCUUUUUCGUGCGAAUGUUGCAGGUCCUCCUGUGCCUCAGCUGUAUCUUUUGUCUUCCCAUACACACCCAAGAAGCCUAGCAGGUUCACGCAAAGGUUCUUCGUCACGUGCAUCACGUUGAUCGAAGAGAGGACCUCUAGGUCUUUCCAGUAGGGUAGGUCCCAAAAUAUAGAUUUCUUCUUCCACAUGGGUGCGUGUCCCUCAGCGUCACUCGGAACAGCUAGUCUGUCGGGACCCUUUCCAAAGAUUACGUGUAAAUCAUUGACCAUAGCAAGUAAGUGAUCACCGGUACGCAUGGCGGGCUUCUUCCGGUGAUCUGCCUCGCCUUUGAAAUGCUUGCCUUUAUUUCGACAUUGAUGGUUGGUAGGAAGAAAUCGACGAUGGCCCAGGUACACAUUCUUCCUGCAGCUUCCCAGGUAUAUACUUUCUGUGUCAGCUAAAUAGUGCGUGCAUGCGUGGUAUCCCUUGUUUGUCAGUCCUGAAAGGUUACUGAGAGCGGGCCAAUCGUUGAUGAUCACGAACAGUAACGCCUUUAGGUCAAAUUCCUCCUGUUUGUGCUCAUCCCACGUACGUACACCGUUUCCAUUCCACAGCUGUAAAAGUUCUUCAACUAAUGGCCUUAGAUACACAUCAAUGUCGUUGCCGGGUUGCUUAGGGCCUUGGACGAGAACUAACAUCAUAAUGAACUUCCGCUUCAUGCACAUCCAAGGAGGAAGGUUAUACAUACAUAGAGUCAUGGGCCAGGUGCUGUGAUUGCUGCUCUGCUCUCCGAAAGGAUUAAUGCCAUCCACGCUUAAAGCAAACCAUACGUUCCUUGGGUCACUUGCAAACUCAUCCCAGUACUUUCUCUCGAUUUUUCUCCACUGCGACCUGUCAGCGGGUGCUCUCAACUUCCCGUCUUUCUUACAGUCCUCACUGUGCCAUCGCAUCAACUUGGCAUGCUCUCUGUUUCUGAACAGACGUUUCAACCGUGGUAUUAUAGGAGCAUACCACAUCACCUUCACAGGAACCCUCUUCCUGGGGGGCUCGCCGUCAACAUCACCAGGGUCAUCUCGUCUGAUCUUAUACCGUAUGCAGCGCAUACCGGGCAUGCGUUCAGAUCCUUGUACGCACCGCGGUACAGGAUGCAGUCAUUAGGGCAUGCAUGUAUCUUCUGCACCUCCAAUCCUAGAGGGCAUACGACCUUCUUUGUUGCGUAUGUACUGUCGGGCAAUUCGUUAUCCUUUGGAAGCUUCUUCUUCAAUAUUUUCAGUAGCUUCUCAAAUCCUUUGUCAGGCACAACAUUCUCUGCCUUCCACUGCAGCAAUUCCAGUACGGUACCGAGCUUUGUGUUGCCAUCUUCGCAAUUGGGGUACAACCCUUUUUUGUGAUCCUCUAACAUGUGAUCGAACAUCAGCUUCUCCUUUUGACUUUCGCAUUGCGUCCUUGCAUCGGCAAUGACCCGGCGGAGAUCAUCAUCAUCGGGCACAUCGUCUGGUUCCUCUUGAUCUUCAGCAGCUUCCCCGUUGCAACAUCAUUGGGCACAUCAUCUGGUUCCUCUUGAUCUUCAGUAGCUCCCCCCGUUGCAGCAUCACCGUAUUCAGGGGGCACAUAGUUAUCAUCGUCCUCUUCUUCUUCGCCGUCUUCCAUCAUAACUCCUAUUUCUCCGUGCCUCAUCCAAACAUUAUAGUGUGGCAUGAAACCAUUGUAAAGCAGGUGGGUGUGAAGGAUUUUCCGGUCAGAGUAAGACUUUGUAUUCCUACAUUUAGGGCAUGGACAACACAUAAAACCAUUCUGCUUGUUUGCCUCAGCCACUUCGAGAAAAUCAUGCACGCCCUUAAUGUACUUGGAGGUGUGUCUGUCACCGUACAUCCAUUGCCGGUUCAUCUGCGUGCAUUAUAUAUAAUUAAGUGUGUCAAAACCAUUGCAGAACAUCAUGAAUAGAUAAUUAAGUGACCAAAUUAAUAGAAGUUCAUCAUCACAUUAAAACCAAAGUACAUACAUAGUUCUCAUCUAACAACAUAAAGCUCUCCAGAGCAUCUAAAUUAAUUAACCCAUACAUUGAAACUAUGUAAAACAUUUCAAUGCGAAAACAAAUGCGAUCAUAAUUGCAACCAAGGUAACAAUUGAUCCAACGGCAUAAUGAUACCAAGCCUCGGUAUGAAUGGCAUAUUUUCUAAUCUUUCUAAUCUUCAAGCGCAUUGCAUCCAUCUUGAUCUUAUGAUCAUCGACGACAUCCGCAACAUGCAACUCCAAUAUCAUCUUCUCCUCCUCAAUUUUUUUAUUUUUUCCUUCAAGAAAUUGUUUUCUUCUUCAACUAAAUUUAACCUCUUGACAAUAGGGUCGGUUGGAAUUUCUGGUUCACGUACCUCCUAGAUAAAUAAAAUCUAUGUCACGUUGGUUGGCAUAAUUUUCAUAAACAAUAAAUGAAGCAAUAGUUAUAAAGAUAAUAUAUACCACAUCCGAAUCAUAGACAGGAUGAGGGCCAACGGGGGCGGAUACCAAAACCAUCGCACUAUAUAAUAACAAGCAAUAAAAUAGUAAGAAAAUUAGACAAGUAUCUAUCUAAAGCAAGAAUAAUUUUUUUCCAGAAAGAAGAUAAGAACAAGAGGCUCACCACGGUGGUGCCGGCGACGAGAUCGGCGCGGGCGAUCGAAGACAGUGAAGACGGGGGCGGGGUGUGAUGGGCCGCUAAUAUAAACCUAGACAAAUCUCGGGAAAAAUAGAGUUCGGAGGUCGUGCUUCGAGAGGAGAAAGCUUAACUAGUGUGGCUCGGGCAUUUCAUUGAACACCUUAAGUGCAUAGGAGGUGAGCUAGAGCACCACAAAGCCCUCCCCUCCCCGGCCAGAGAAAAACAGAGCAGUGGAGUGCUCUGCUCGCGGGCGAGGGGUAUAUAUAGGCACCUCAAUGGUCCCGGUUCGUGGCAUGAACCGGGACUAAAGGGUAGCCAGUUGUCCCGGUUCGAUCCACCAACCGAGACCAAUGGUGGUGGGCCAGGAGCCAGGCCUAUUGGUCCCGGUUCGUCCCACCAACCGGGACCAAAAGGUCCAGACGAACCGGGACCAAUGGCCCACAUGGCCCGGCCGCCCCCCUGGGCUCACGAACCGGGACUAAUGCCCCCAUGGGUACUGGUUCUGGACUGAACCGGGACUAAUGGGCUGACCCGGCCUGAACCAAAGCCCUCUUUUCUACUAGUGCAUGUGAUUUCAAAUCGAGAAACGUGGAUAUUUUACCAUAUAAACAUGAAAAGUAUCUUUUAAGACAAGUUCCCAUUCAAUCAUUUUUUGGAGGUUGCAUGGAAAUUUAAUUUUACACACUUGAAACAAUUUUAGCAGGCAUGAACAUUUUCCAAAGAUGGUGGAACACUUAUUUUUAAAACCGUAGAAAAUAGACAGUACAAUAGUAUAAUAUAUUCACUUAUUAUAAAAUCUGUUUUGUAAAUUACAUUUUUAGUAGAACAAUUUCAUUUUCUUAUUCUAGUUUUUAGUGGAACUUUCUUAAUCUAGUUAAAUCGCAAAAGCCUUCACUACCUCUUGUGUUUGAAUCAAAUCGCCAAAGAUAUAUAAUAAUUGAUCACGAUUAAUAAUUUCUUCAAUGGACAUGCAAGCAGUAGCUAUCCACUUAUCCAUACACAAGAUAUUUACUAUCUACUACAUUUGUUACGUGAAUUAAAACAUUGAUCAAUCAUACAGGCCCAAUGCAUGUUCGUUAACAUUGUCUUGUUCCCAUUUAGCCCUGUAAGUGUAUUUUGAAUAUUUACUUGUCAAUUAUAGUGGCAAAAUGUAUGUGUCAAUUGAGUAUGUUGCUAUAAAUGACAUACUUGCAGACUAAUGGUUGCUCGUGACAAACGUUCUAUGUCGAACUGAUGGGCAUUAUAAGAAAUCCUUGCUAGAUAUUAUCCGCAAUAAAAGUACAUGUAUGUGUAGAGAAGUCCUUAUCAGCUUUACCGAAAGCCCUUGUCAGCACUAUCAUGAUCUUGUUAAUAAUUUUACUUGAGGCCACCAUGAACCUUUCUUUGAAAUUCAAUUAAAUUGCGGCCUGUUUGAUUCACUACAUCAUGAACUUUUUGAAGUUUUCUCCUAUGCAAAUUGUUUGAUUUGUAGAAGAAAAUUAUUUUUCAAUCGUUCUUCAACAUGGUUCUACUAAGUCCAACGUCAUAAAUUGUCACACUGAUCUAAAUUUUCAGGAAAUAUUAUGCGUCUUUUCUAUGGUGCAACCGAACAAUUUUGACUACACAUAAUCUAUUUCAGAGUUUCUCAUAAUUUAACAAUGCAAUGGCAUUCAAUUCCUACCUUAUUCGUAUUCACGCGUUUCCUGAAAUAUUACAACCAAAAUAGGCUCUACCACCAUUCAUUCUUCAAGGCAUCACCCAAAUUUAACCGUUACAAAAUGUUAUGAAAAUUUGGAAAGUACUUAAUUCAUAAUUUAUCAAAUUUUCAACAAUUACUUGAUUAGCAUAAUACUUUUUAUGCAUUGCGACUCAAAAGCUAAGGAUGUUUGAUAACACAACUUGUACGGCUCAACUAUGCAUUACCCAUUAGGAACGGCGUAGUACCAUAAAAACACAUUUUCUUCCCCCAACCUUUGCGUUGGUGCCAUAUAUAUACUACUCCCUCCGUUCACAAAUAUAAGAUGUUCAAAACAGUGUGCCAUAUGCAGACACGUUUUAGUGUGUUUGUUCACUCAUUUUAGUUUGUAUAUGGUUCAUAUUAAAAUAUUUAUAACAUUUUAUAUUUUUGAAUGAAAGGCGUAUCAUUUAGAAUACGAAAUCGACUCUCUAUUUCAUUACGUAUUCAUUCCACGGUUGCAAGCUGAAAACUCACCACCAAAGUCCUGCACAAAAGAAAAAAGGUCACGAGCAGAUAAUAACUCCCAAACUAGCAUUUCGAAAGCUCAAGGACAAGAACUGCGUACGUGACCUAUGGGCUAUGGUGUGGUACUGCAUGCCACAAAGAGUUGUGUUUUUCUUCUUUAAUUUUCUUUUUAAAGGCAAUUGGCUUCUUACUUUAUUUGGUGCAAAAGGUUUGGCCGUCCUACUGGCUGUACUACAGUAGCCUGGCAUGUCAAGCUCUAGACACUGUAGCUAGUAGCUCAUAGGUUUUUACUGUUCUCCCAGCCAACACGAAGCCCCCACUCAAGUGUUUGCUAGGACUUCGGAGAAUCCCAAGCGCGUUCUCCUCUUGUCCAGGACUGAAGAAAGAACUGGAAAUUAAAAAAACUGGAAAAACUUGAGCCCCUAUAUUUGUUCUUGGGUUGUGUAUAUAUGGGUUUGUCCGCUAUCUAUCCUCUGCUUUCUGCGUUCCAUAUAUCUAGAUUUGUCAUAUUUCAUUUUAUUUAGUUGUCCCACGUCUAUCCUUUCAUAUUUUUUAAAUCAUUACUAUUGUCAAGCAUCAUUUGAUAUCUAUCUAUCUAUCUAUUAAUUGCACUAUGCUCCCUAAAUUUUAAGGCCUCACAAUCAAUUGAGGUCUCCAAUUUGAAUUCGGGUCACCCGAUUUUGAUUAGGUCAACAAUUUAUCAAGGAGUUCUCUCAUUCAAUUCUAUUAAUUCACUAUGUUCCUUAAUUUUGGACAUCUCUCAUUCGAUAUUGAGGUAUUUGAUUUUGGAUUUGGUUCAUCUUUUGACUGAGUCAAUAAUUUUUAAUUAAAUCGGCAGCAACCAACCUAUAAAAAUAUAAAAAUCCGGCAUGCUCUCUCACCACUUAGAAAAAAGAAGCGUCACCUUGUGAUAUUAUAGUUCCAGUAUAGUAUAUGCAACCACCAGCGGACAAAAAAUCACAUAAAUAUGAGUUGAUUAACAGAUAACAUAUAAUCACACCGCGAAAGGCCCACUAAACAUCUCAUUAUAUAAAUAGAAGAAAAACACAGUACAUCAUCUCUUCACUCGCCAAACCAAAUAUUGUCUCAGUUCCGAAAUAUAUAUUGGUUGAUUAGCAGAUAACACAGAAUCAUAUCAUGUCCCACCAAAACACCGCAUUAUAAAUAAAAAUAAAACACACUCCAUCGUCUCUCCACUCGCCAAACCAGAUAUUCUCCCAGUUUCAAAAUACAUAUGGGUUGAUUAGCAGAUAACACAGAAUCAAACCACAAGGGUCCAUCAAAACACCGUAUUAUGAAUAAAAAUAAAACACAAUUCCAUCAUCUCCCCACUUGCAAACCAAAUAUUCUUUCAGUUCCAAAAUAUAAGUUGUAAUUUUUUUUUCAAAAGUCAAAUUUAUUCAGUUUCAUCAAGUUCAGAGCCAAAAAUAUCAACAUCAACAAUCCUAAAUAAAUAAAAUAUAGAAAUUCAUUUCAUAGUGAAUCUAACGCUACCGAUUUGAUAUUAUGGAUAUUGAUAAUAUUUCUCUACAUACUUUUUCAAACUUAAAGAGGUUUGAUUUUUCAAAAACUAAUACACCUUAUAUUUUGAAACAAUGAGAGUUAAAAAGUUAUGAAAACACAACAACACCAACGGCGCAGCAAAGUGAGCCCAACCCUUCUAGCAUUUAUUAUAUAUAGUUCAAAUGAGUGGAAUACAUCGGUACCGUCCUCAUACAUUGAACAAAGAUGACAAAGCCGUGUUAGGCAUUCCUAAGAAAAGAUUUGUUGGUUCUGUGCAUCCUAACUAUACAGAGGCUGGGUAUGUGUGCUCAUAUCGUCUUGAUGCUACAUUUUGAGCUAAUAAAUUCCACCCUUUGUAAAAAAAGAAAAGAUUUGUUUGGACUUUUAUUUUGUUUGAAUUCAACGCAAUACCAUGGAAUAGAGGCUUCAUGUUUUUUACCAUAUUUGCAUUAAGAAGAAGACUACUGAUGAUCCGCAUAGGUCGUCGCUCCUUUCGGGAGUGAAUCAGGUGGAGCCCUAGCCAGCCGGCAUAGCCCCUGCCCCUCAUCUCCUACCCUCGCUACCGGUGGAGGGAACCCACAUACAAAGCUUGCACAACAUCGGCGACAAAAUGACCGUCCUCUCGCGUGAAGGCGCAUGCUGCCGAGGUGUGUGGAGGCACGACGCAAUAUUACAAGCCCUUGGAGCCGUGGUAGCCCUGCCAGCGGAGCUCCUUCCAGCGGGGGUGGCCCUACAUUGCCGGCAGUGGCCACCUAGGCCUAUUUUCCGGAAAGCUUCAGUUGUUUGAUCUGAAUUUUGGAAUAAUAACUUUGCUUCCGAAGAAAACAAAGGCUGUGAGAAUUGAGCAAUUCAGGCCUAUCUGUCUUCUUAAUGUUAGUUUCAAAAAUUUUACCAAGGUUGGGACUAAUAAACUCACAAAGAUUGCGCACUCUGUGGUGCAGCCGACCCAAACUGCUUUCAUGCCGGAUAGAAACAUCCUAGAAGGGGUUGUGGUCCUUCAUGAAACGCUUCGUGAAAUCCAUACGAAAAAAUAGACGGGGUUGUUUUCAAAGUGGAUUUCGAAAAAGCGUACGAUAAAGUCAAAUGGCCAUUUCUGCAACAGGCCUUAUGCAUGAAAGGUUUUGAUCAGGCCUAGAGACACCGGGUUGAACAUUUCACGCAAAAAGAAGUGUUGGAAUCAAAGUGAAUGACGACAGAGGUCACUACUUCCAAACACAUAAGGGCCCAAGACAAGGAGAUCCGAUCUUACCUAUCAUGUUCAACAUAGUAGUUGACAUGUUGACAAUGCUGGAAUUUUUGUCCAUUUGGACCUAGCCCAAUAGCAGUUUUAGAAAUUCCUAAUAAAUCCUAGAGGCCCACGCAGCCCAUUAGUGCAAGGCAAGAGGUGGAACUAAAGUUUAGUCCCACAUUGCUAGUUUAGAGGGAGUUGGACCUCUUUAUAAGGGAGGCUCUUUCCCCACUUGUAUGAGCAUGAGAACAAGAGGGACAUCCACACGUGCUCCUCCUCCGCCGCCCGCCUCGCCACGCCACGCCACGCCUCGUCACGACGCAUCGCGCCGCGCCGCGGGUUGCGGGAAUGAGCUGAGCCGAUGUUUAAAUUUUUGCCAUGCACUACGGGUAUACGAAAGGUCACACGGAAGCUGAAAAGUUUUUGCGAUAAGUGGAGUUUGAAUGAACGGUGCAACCCUUCGGCUGCUGGCUGUUCGCUUCAUCUUCGACUCUUCGUUUCACCUUCCGUGGCUGCCCUCUCGCCUUCUUCUCGUGCGCCUAUAAAAGUGAGGUCGCUCCUCUCAGAGAGACGCACCAGAACUCAUUCUUCUUCUGGCCACCGGUUCCUAAACACUGCGCUGUUGCUACGAUCUUCCUCAUCCCGGCUUGCAGCGUGCACCGUAGGUCAGGACAGUAGGCCUCCUAAACCGCACCUCUUUGAGUCCUGUUCGGGAGAAGGGUGAUAAGGUUUUUGGGGAGCGCUCUGCGCAACUACUGACUUCUUCGUCACGGAUGCCCCGGACUUCGACGACUACUUCCCCGACGUCGACAUCCUCCUCGACGACAUGGAGGACGCCGACCCCAAGUCCAGUGCCUCUGCUCCGGCUACUGUCUCGUACGUGUUCUUGUUUUUCUUGUUAGAGGUCCUGUCACAGUUGCUUGUUCUAGUGUUUGCCCUAGACAUGUUAGGAUCUACCUCAUAUAUGCAUCUUCAUCUACCGUCUGCUCUAGAGAUGAUCGGUUCUAGCUCAUAUAUGCAGAUGUUAUUUACCUUCUCUUUGUCAAAUCGCAUGACUUGUUUUAUCACUGCUAUACUAGUCAUGCUUUAUCUAGUAUUUCUGUUAAUAAAAUCAUUUGGUAAAUUGCUCAUAUUUCCAACAAUCCAAAAACCUUAUUAUAGGCAAUUUACCCCGAGUGGUUUUGCUGCUUCCAUGAGACCUCCUAUGUUUGAGGGUAUCCACUAUAAGAGGUGGCGCGUGAGAGCAGUCUUAUGGUUUCAGACCAUGAGCUGCUAUGACGCCACUCUUGGCAAACCUGGAGGAGGGCAAGAUGCCCAACAGUCACAAGCUUUUCAGAAAAUGGAUACCUUGUUUAAGGCUGCUCUCUUGAGUGUUCUUGGUGAGAACAUAGUUGAUGCUUAUGCGUCAAUUGAUAAUGGAAAAGAUAUGUGGGAUGCACUCGAGGCCAAGUUUGGGGUCUCGGAUGCUGGCACUGAUCUGUACAUCAUGGAGCAAUUCUAUGACUACAGGAUGACUGAAGAGCGCUCCGUGGUUGAGCAAGCUCAUGAGAUACAGUCAUUUGCUAGAGAACUUGAGCACUUCAAUUGUAUCCUACCGGGCAAGUUUAUUGCCGGAGGUAUCAUCACUAAGCUUCCGCCCAUGUGGAGGAACUUUGCUACCUCACUAAAGCAUAAGAGGCAGGAGUUUUCCAUUCCGGAUCUCAUUGGUACUCUUGAUGUGGAAGAAAAGGCGAGAGCAAAGGACAACCGUGCUCGAGGUAUUGAGGGAGGUUCUAGUGCCAAUCUGGUACAAAAUAAGAACUUCCAGCCCCACAAGUUCAAGAACAAGGGCAAGUUUGAUGGUAAAGCAAAGUUUGAUGGGAAGAACUAGGCUGUGCAGCACACGAACUUCAAGAAGAAGAAUGACAAGAAGAAAGGUGUUUGUCAUGUGUGUGGAGAUCCUGAUCAUUGGGCUCCUAGUUGCCCCAAUCGCUAUGACAAGCGUCAUCCUGGGAAAGGCGACAAGACCGCUAAUGUUGUCAUUGGAGACACUAACAUGAAGGAUGCUGGGUAUGGUAUAUUUCCCACUAUUCUUUCAGUAUGUCAUUCUCCUGAUUGGUUGAUUGACACGGGUGCUAAUGUGCAUGUAUGCGGUGAUGUUUCCAUGUUUUCGUCUUAUCAGACCGCAUGGACUUCAACUAUGCUGAUGGGCAAUGGUUCAAGUGCUUCUGUUCAUGGUGUUGGCACGGUCGAUCUGAAGUUUACUUCGGGGAAGAUCAUGCGGCUGAAGAACGUGCAUUAUGUCCCCUCCGUCAAUAAAAAUCUUGUUAGCAGAUCUCUUCUGUGUAGAGAUGGCUACAAGCUUGUCUUUGAGUCGAAUAAAUUUGUAAUUUCCAAGUAUGGAACCUUUGUUGGUAAAGGCUAUGAGUCAGGAGGCUUGUUUCGUUUAUCCUUAUCAGACGUUUGCAAUAAAGUUGUUAAUCAUAUUUGCAACAAUAGUGAAUCAAAUAUGUGGCAUUCACGUCUUUGUAAUGUUAACUUUGGUUGCAUGUCGUGACUAGCGAAGUUGAACUUAAUCCCUAGUUUCACCUCUGUCAAGGGAUCCAAGUGUCAAGUGUGUGUGCAAGCUAAGCAACCACGUAAGUCUCAUGUGACUGCGGAAACGAGAAAUCUUGCACCACUAGAACUCAUACAGUCAGAUCUAUGUGAAAUGAAUGGUGUUUUGAAAAAAGGUGGAAAGAAAUAUUUCAUGACGUUAAUUGAUGACUCCACUAGAUACUGUCAUGUGUAUCUUCUGAAAUCUAAGGAUGAUGCUUUGAACUAUUUCAAGAUCUAUAAAGCUGAAGCGAAAAAACAACUUGAUCGAAAGAUCAAGAGGCUUAGGUCCGAUCGUGGUGGAGAGUAUUUCUCAAAUGAAUUUGAUUCCUUUUGUGAGGAACAUGGUAUAAUCCAUGAGAGGACGCCUCCCUAUUCACCUCAGUCAAAUGGGGUGGCCGAAAGGAAAAACCGUAUUCUAACUGAUUUGGUUAACGCCAUGUUAGACACAUCGGGUCUCUCCAAGGCAUGGUGGGGGGAGGUGAUAUUGACAGCAUGUCAUGUCCUAAACCGAGUUCCCACAAAGAACAAAGAGAUAACUCCAUUUAAGGAAUGGAAGAAGAAAAGGUUAAAGCUCUCUUAUCUACAAACCUAGGGUUGUUUGGCGAAAGUCAAUGUGCCAAUUCCAAAGAAGCGGAAGCUGGGACCAAAAACUGUGGAUUCUGUUUUCCUGGGAUAUGCUUUUCAUAGCAUUGGUUAUAGAUUCUUGGUUGUAAAAUGUGAGGUACCUGACAUGCAUGUCGGUACGAUCAUGGAGUCGAAUGAUACGGCUUUCUUUGAAGAUAUCUUUCCAUGAAGGAUAUGGCUACCUCAUCUAAUCAGGAGAUGCCUAGUUCAUCGAAUCAUGAACCAGUUACAAUUACUGAACCCGCCAUUUCGAUGGAACACUUUGAAAAACCGAUGAAGGAGAACAAUGAAGUUCCUACUAGGAGCAAGAGACAUAGGAUUGCAAAGUCCUUUAUUGAUGAUUUUCUUGUGUAUCUCAUAGAUGACACUCCCAGUUCUAUUUCAGGGGCCUAUGCAUCUAAGGAUGCUGACUACUGGAAGGAAGCAGUUCGUAGCGAGAUGGAUUCCAUCUUGGCGAAUGAAACUUGGGAGAUAACUGAUCGUCCUUAUGGGUGCAAAACUAUAGGAUGCAAAUGGGUAUUCAAGAAGAAGCUUAGGCCUGAUGGUACUAUUCAAAAGUACAAGGCUCGACUCGUGGCAAAGGGUUAUACCCAAAAGGAAGGUGAAGACUUCUUUGAUACUUACUCACCUGUGGCUCGACUGACCACUAUUCGAGUUCUACUUUCACUAGCUGCCUCACAUGGUCUUCUCAUUCAUCAAAUGGAUGUUAAGACUGCUUUCCUAAAUGGAGAGUUGGACGAGGAAAUUUAUAUGGAACAACCAGAUGGGUUUGUAAUAGAUGGCCAGGAAGGGAAAGUGUGCAAGUUGCUGAAGUCUUUGUAUGGACUCAAGCAAGCACCCAAACAGUGGCAUGAGAAGUUCGAAAGAACUUUAACAGCUACAGGCUUUGUUGUGAACGAAGCUGACAAAUGUGUGUACUAUCGCCAUGGUGGGGGCGAGGGAGUUAUGGUUUGCUUGUAUGUUGAUGACAUACUGAUUUUUGGAACAAAUCUGAAUGUUAUUAAGGAGGUCAAGGAUUUCCUAUCUCGCUAUUUUGAGAUGAAGGAUUUAGGAGUGGCUGAUGUCAUUCCGAACAUCAAGUUAUUGAGAGACGAUGAUGGUGGGAUUACAUUGCUUCAAUCUCACUAUGUGGAAAAGAUCUUGAGUCGCUUUGGCUACAGUGACUGCAACCCCUCUCCAACACUAUAUGAUGCUAGUGUGUUGCUUCGAAAGAAUCGAAGAAUUGCUAGAGACCAAUUGAAAUAUUCUCAGAUUGUUGGCUCGCUUAUGUACUUAGCCAGUGUUACAAGACCUGACAUCUCUUUUGCUGUGAGCAAACUGAGCCGGUUUGUCUCAACACCAAGAGAUGUGCAUUGAAAAGCUCUAGAGAGAGUUUUGCGUUAUUUGAAAGGCACUGCGAAUUAUGGAAUUCACUACACUGGGCACCCAAAUGUGCUUGAAGGGUAUAAUGACUCAAACUGGAUCUCAGAUGCUGAUGAGAUAAAGGCCACGAGCGGAUAUGUAUUCACUCAUGGAGGUGGCACUGUUUCUUGGAAGUCUUGCAAGCAGAGCAUCUUAACGAGGUCAACGAUGGAAGCAGAACUCACAUCACUAGAUAAAGCUACGGUCGAAGCAGAUUGGCUUCGUCGGCUCUUGAAUGACUUGCCGGUUGUUGAGAAACUUGUACCGGGUAUCCUUAUGAACUGUGAUAAUCAAACUGUGAUCACGAAAGUGAACAGUUCAAAGGAUAACAUGAAGUCAUCAAGACACGUUCAGAGAAGGUUAGAGUCUGUCAGAAAAAUGAAAAACUCCGGAGUUAUUGCAUUGGAUUAUAUCCAAACAUCUAAAAAUCUGGCAGAUCCUUUUACUAAGGGUCUAUCACAUAAUGUGAUAGAUAAUGCAUCGAGGGAGAUGGGUAUGAGACCCACAAUAUGAGUUUUUCACAGUGGUAACCUAUUCUUUGUGAUCGUAGAUCCCGUGAAUUAGAUGUGGAAGACAAGCUGUUGGUCAACUGGGAGGAGUACCUUUACUAUUAAAAAUACCACUCCAUGAAGAUGCAAUACUCUCCUAAAUCUGCAUGGCGGGUUGAUGUAUAUCUUAAUGUGUUCUAAGAGGCUCUUUGAAGCAGAGAUGUUGUCCUGCAGAACAUCUUUUGAAGAACGCACCUAUAUGAGUCUCAUUGUUAAACAUCGCAAUCUAUGAGAGUAGGGUUGUCUCACUACAAAAAAAUACACUUCCGUGAUGAUACAUGUUUGUCACAGUAGGUCGCGUUUUUUGUCAUGCACGUACAUCCAUGACAAAUUUAUGACAGAAUCAAGAUAGUCAUACCUGUGCUGCCGUAGAAGUGUUCCAUGACAUUACCAAAAUUAUCAUCACGGAAGUGUCCACUUCCAUGACGAUAAAUCACGCGUCAAAGAAGUGCUUUCGUCAAGGGUGACCGACACGUGGCAUCCACCGUAAUGGAACACCGUUAAGCUAUCGGGUCGGAUUUUGGAUCCGAUAACCCAUUAAUAGCCCCGACCAAUGGGAAAUUUCCACGUGUAAAAUUCUGAUUGGCUGAAGGGAACACCUGUCAGCUCGUCAGUGGGCCAGAUGUCACUCGUCCAUUGGAGGAGACAUGCCUAUGGUACAUCGACACGUGGCUGGGCCCAACAGAGGCCCAUAUAGGUUAAAAAGGCCGGCCCAGUCAAAGGCCCGUAGAACUUAAUCAGGUACUAGUGGGCCAGCCCAAUAACGGCCUGCUUAAUAAAGGCCCAUUUAUGUCCCGAAACCAGAUCUGGCCCGUUAAUUGUUCGCCCAAUAUUUGGGCCCAUUUGGGCCCGAAGGUAGAUCUGGCCCGUUAAUUGUUCGCCCAAUAUUUGGGCACAUUUGCGGCCCGAAGCCAGAUCUGGCCCGUUAAUUGUUCGCCGAAUAUUCAGGCCCAACUACAGCCCAAUGACUUUCGGCCUGUUAGAGGCCUGAUGUAGACCUAGGCCCAUUUCAGCCCGGUGUGACUUUCGGCCUGGGAAUGGCCCGUGCUGCCCAUGGGACGGGACAUCGGGCCCACUAACGGCCCGUGCUAAAGGUGGCAACAGUUAGACCCAACGUGACUUUGGGCAUGUUAAAGGCCUGUCGCAUAAUUCGGCCCGUUGAUGCCUGUACUAAGCUUUCGGCCUCUUAAAGGCCCAUGAUAUCAGUGGGCCAACUAAGGCCUGAGAUAUGUUUCGUCUUGGUAACGGCCCGUGAGCUAACUGGGCCCAUAGCGGCCCAGUCUACAUUUCGGCCUGCUGAAGGCCCGUCGACGACUAGUGAAAAUUGAGGCCCAACAUGCAUUUGGGCCUGCUAAAGGCCAGUGGUUUCAUCUUGGUCGUAACAGGCCAGUACAAUAUUCAGCCUGUUAAUGGCCCAACGCUACCUGGGCCAAACUAAGCGCUGGGUCGACAAAAGGCCCAACUAAAAUAUAGGCCGGUGUAAGUUUGGGCCUGGCGCAAUGUGUGAAGGCCCCAAUCAUUCGGGCCCAAGAAAGACGCAGGCCGGCCCAAUUGUGGCCCGCUAAAAACUUGGCCCGUUAGAGUCGAAUGUUUCGGCCCGGUCGACUACAUCUGAUUUUUUUUCAGACAAUGAAUGAUGGCUGUAACUAGUAGGAAUUAAGAACAAACCUACUCUAUACAAUAAAGAAAUUACGGCAUAGUAACUAAGAAUAAACCUACACUAUACAAUAAAGAAUUUAAGGUAUAUUACAUCCACUAGGCAUCGAAGUUCGCCACCAGUGAUCAUAAAGCGCAACGAAGAAGCAGAUUACAAAAACUGGGCACCAUUGCAACGUAACAAAAUAAUACUGAACCGAGACCACUUCCAAGACAGUUCAAGAAAGGUUAGCCUUACGGGGGAACUGCUGCGCAAGCUGCUGAGCAAGGUUGUGAGACCGGCCUAGCAUGUCGGUCAUAGCUUCCAGGUGUAGCUGUUUAGCGAUGAGGUUCUCAUUAGUGUUCUCCGCAAUCUUUGUUAGAGAUAGGACUUCAAGUCGAAAUUGAGUUGCAGAGUGCCUUUCUGCUAGAACUUGGGACGGAAGAAGUCGAACUGAUUCAGACAACGAAUUCUGUGAGCUUGUCUGACUGUCAGUCUCAAGUAACUUGAACACUACAUCAAGACAAAACUUUGGGGUUGUCUCGCUAUCUUCAAGAUGUUUUGCCUUCUUUGCUGCAAUAUAUGUUGGGUUUGUCUCACAGCCUUCAGCAGACUUGUGCAUGCCAUCAGGCAUAUCACACUGAAACAAAGCAGAGAGAUGACAGGUUUUGCACGUGUAUAAACAAAGAUGAUAACUGUUCUGUCAAUUCUAUCCAAUUUCAAAUUAGAAAAUAAAGAGUAAGUUCAAAAUAUCAAUAGCAUAAUUUGGCAUUGUUCAUAAUGCGGGGAGCUUCACCAUACUACUGGAUUACCAUGUCAACAUAACAAGCAUAGAUGAAGGGCAAAGAAAAUCAUUGUAUCUAUUUUGGAUAAUGUGCAUGGCAUGUUGUUCAUAUCAUCAACCACAUCAGUAAGAUAAAACAGGAGAUGACAAGGUGCAAACGUGGGCUACUUCACCACACACUGGAUUAUAGAUCCACAAAACCAAGCAUACAUAUAGGGAGUAUUAAGUAAUGUGCAUGGUAUGAAUAAGAAAUUUGGUUUUACAAGUAAAACUUAGAACUUACGGUUCUUACGAACAUGCAUUUUGGUAGAAACAGCAAACUAAACAGCAGUAAACAAUAGGGAGUAUGAGCAAAUUAAACAGCAGUUGAGGAUAAAGGCUUUAGAAGGACUGACUUACAUUAACAGUUAACACCGGCUUUAUAAUGCCCUUCACCAUGUCAAGGGAAGGAUAACUCAAGAAUUUUAGCAUAGAAUCUUCUUCAUAAGCAUUGCCUGUACUCUACAUUUUGUAGAGAGUAAUAUAGAUAUGAUAAUACUGGAAGGGAUAGAGGAUAAUGAAUAUAAGAUACAGAUUGAUGCUACAUAAUCAACUACCAAUCCCUGGAAGUACAAGCGUUAUAGGACAAAAUGUACUGACAAGAGCAAUGGGCUACUGUGGGACCUUGAAGUAAGUCUAGAGGGGGGUGUCGUGGUUCUAAGUCUGAUAGUAGAAUGGGGGGUAGGUAUGGAGAGGCAAGAUCCUAGCUAUGGAGUAGUUGUACACACGAGUGUUUAGCGAGUUCAGGCCCUUCUCGGAGGAAGUAACAGCCCUACGUCUCGGAGCCCGGAGGCGGUCGGCUGGUUUCUGUGUAUAUGAGUUACAGGGGUGCGAACCCUUUACACUGAGGAGGGGGGUGACUUAUAUAGAGUUCGCCAGGCCCCUCCGGCCCUCAGUUAUGCAGGGUUUAAAGUACAUUAAGACAGGGGGUUACUGGUAACGCCCUCAUAAAGUGCUAUGAAGACUAUUAAAACUACUUAAUGACAGACCGUUGCAUGCUGAGUGACUUUAGGUCUCCUGGCCGUCGAGUGGUUAGCUUCAUGGUCAAGUGGCUAUCUUCAUCGUCGAGUGUCCUUGGGUUCGUCGAGUGAAGUCCCUCUUGGUCGACUGGAAGGUAGCUUCUUCUAAGGGUGUCCUUGGGUAUGGUAUCCUAGACAGGUCCAUGAUCCUACCCUAGGUACAUAACCUCAUCAUUAGCCCCCGAAUGGAUCGAGGUUCGAGUGAGGAAGGAGUUGAUGAUUUUCUCCGACCUAUUUCCCGUGCUUUGAUUAUGUCGUAUCCUGGAUCAGCGAUUUUUCUUUUUGGCGUUGUCAUCAACUUUUCUUUCAAUCGCCUUGAUCCAUUCCUUUCAUCUGUCGAGUGAACUUUUGAACUUUAGUGAACUUCCGAGCGACGGAUCGUAGGAAAGAUAUCGUCUGACAGAUUGAUCUGCCGUUAGCGGAUUUUGUGGGAUCCGAAUUUUGGGAAGCGCGCGAAACGGGGCGGACCGCGGUACUCGGAUGGGAUAAGGCGCGGACGCCUCGAUUUCCGCGCCACCUUUUUUGCCACAUAUCGUGCGUGCGCGACUAUUUCGGGAUGUGAGAGGACCGCCCGGGCCUACUUUUCAGCCACUCGGAAGUGUCCUUAUAUAAAGCGCCGGGCGAGGGUUUUUUGAACAAUGCCUUCCCAUUCUUCUCUCCGCCCUCUUUGCCUCCGCCCGCUGCGCCUGCUCUCGCCUCUGCUUAUCCACUCCUCGCGCGCUUCGCCGGCGACAAUGGUGAAGGAGAAGACGGCGGCCUUGGAGCACGCGAAGAAGGCGACGGCGGCGGGGAAAGCGAAGGGGAGAGCGUCCAGUCGGGGCGGAUCUUCGUCAAGAUCCCGCUUGCCAAAGGGUUGGGUCCAAGGGGAUUGGAUCCAUUCGACCAUCACCGAGACGGAUCUCAAUGACCUGGCCAACAAGGGUCUAAUCCCCCAUGGGUCAGCAAGGCUUCCGGGGUCCGAGUGUCAACCGCAGCCGCAGGAGGGUGAGUGCGUCCUCCUAGCCACUCAUAUCGAUCGUGGAUUCUCUCUACCGCCGAGUGUUUUCUUCCGAGGAUUCUUGAACUUCUUUGGGGCGCAACUCCACCAUUUCACUCCCAAUUCUAUCGCCCAUCUCGCUGCUUUCAUUUCCAUGUGCGAGAACUUCCUGGGUUGUCGACCUCAUUGGGGUCUCUUUAAGCACAUAUUCACCUGUCGCUCACAGACGGUGAAAAAGGCGAGUCCAGGUGACCAGAGGACUAAGGUUAUCCAGAUGUGCGGGUGCCUAGGGAUUCAGAUGAGGAAUAAGAGUACUUUCCCGGCCAUGACCCUUCCUGAGUCGGUCAGAGGGUGGCAGUCGACUUGGUUUUACUGCCAAGACGAGCCGACACCGGGGCAGUCGGCUGGCCUCCCUCCGUUUUCCAUGGACCGAGUGGACAAACCCUCUUCUUUGAAGGUGCUUCCUGAGGAGAAAGCUCAGGUAAAAAUGCUGAUGGAGCGCGUAGUCCAACUCGUUAGGGACGGAGUGACGGGUAUGGAUCUUCUGGAGGUCUUCCUUAGGCGGCGCAUCCAACCACUUCAGUACCGAGGCCACCCAAUGUGGUUGUAUUGUGGUACCGAAGACACCACUCGGGUCCAUCUAGAAGCGGUCGACAACGCCACACUAUAGAGGUGGGUGGCCGCAAUCACGAGGAAUAAGGACAACCCUCGAGGGGCUAGGAGGAUCCCACCACUCGACUGUACCUACACACCGGACACGGUAUGGCCACUUAUUUCCAAUUGCAAUCUUGCUUUAUUCAUUCUGCUUCGCUGCGAAUUGGUCGACUGAUCUUUGUUUUGCUUUGUUGUCUGACAUGCCACCACGGAGUUAUACUCGAUGCCCAAUGGAGCGCAAACACCGACUGAGGAGGAGGAAGGAAGUGGGGGUGAAAGCCCAGAGGAGUGGGAUUCGGAUGCUGACGACGAUGAUGAGGGUGAUGACUCUGGUGAGGAGGAGGAAGAGGAGGAGGAGGAGGAAGUUGUACCUCCUCGCUCAGAAAGACGCUCGAAGCUUGUCCAUGAUUCCGCGGUCGAGCGCGGUAAGGGGGUCGCAACCGUCACGCAGUCGUCCAAGCGCCCUCGGACUACUUCUCCGGCGCCGACUGAGAAAGCUCCGAAGCAAUCUCGGGUGGCGCCGUCGAAGUCGGCGAAGGUCUUGCCGAAGAUGAAGAUGGUGAUCCCCACUAUCUCAGGGUAAUGGUGUAGCUUGAAUUUGUCUGCUCCUCAUGAACUUAUUCUUGGUCGACUCAUGAGCUAAUCGACUGUCUUCUGAAACUGCAGUGCUGCUACUUCUGAUACCUCGGCCAGAGCUGGAGAUCAGGAGAUGGAGGAUGCUGUUACUUUGAAACCUGGUAUGACUCUUGUAGUUCCGUCUUCAGUCGAUUGGCUUCUUGUCUCUAAUUUUGAUUCUUUUCCUGCAGCUUCAUCUAACAUCGUUAUCGAUCUUCCCGACGACGACGAUGAGGAACCACCAAUGCAGAGGAGGAGCAAGAAAGCGUCUGCUGGCAAGGCGACUCAGGACGUGCCAGCACCCGAGACGUUGGUCGUGGAGGGAGACAAUGUCACUCGGCCUACCAUAACCUUUGCGGUGCCGUUGAAGAGUGCUCGUCCUUCAUCGUCGAGUGUUGCUCAACCCUCGCUUUUCUCAACCUACCACGUUCCAGAAGACCAAGCUAGUGCUGCUAAAGAAGCAAUACGCCAAGCGGGGGUCAUGAUGGAGCAAGUGAAGGCAAUACAAGAAGCCAGCCAGGCAGCCUAUGACGCCAGUUCGGCUCUUCAGAGUAAUGUUCAGGUCAGUCGGUCACUGCCUGUUCUGUUAGGAUAUGAUAUAUGAAAACUCUUCUUUAUGAAAUUCUUAGAGUUUGUCCUACACCCACUGGGUGUGUCGAUUGAAAUUCCGGAUUAGUGGGGGCACGCUGAGUGCACCCACUGGGUGUAGUCCCCAAGGCUAUGGUCGACUGCUGGCAGUCGACCAUAGGCUUUAUGUCUUAUGUUUUUUUUCUUACUCGACUAGGUCGAAUAGAUUCAUGGACCGGUGGGGGCACGCUGAGUGCACCCACUGGGUGUAGUCCCCGAGACCGUGGUCGACUGCUGGUAGUCGACUAUAGUCUGAAGAACAUCUCCCAUUUUUUUUGUUGGUCGACUGGUCGACUCUAACUGAUGAAACUAGUGGGGGCAUGCUGAGUGCACCCACUGGGUGUAGUCCCCGAUACUGUGGCCGAAUGUUUGUAUUCGGCCAUAGUCUUAGAAAUGCUAUGAUUUUUCCUUAGCCACUCGGAAGUGAAUUGUCUUUGACGUCUGUCGAUUGGUUCUUCGUAGAAAUCCUGCGACCUUGCGGCUCGUUACACUGAGAUGGAGAACAAACAUAUCCAGCUCGAGCUUGAUCUGAAACUGACCCAGGAGAACCUAACGAAGGCGAAGGAGGAGGUUAAAGGUAUGUUUGGUGAGGUCUCCGACGACUGCUUUUGCCUCUCGUUUGUUUCAGAGUCUGAUCUCACUGUAAUUUUGCAGACAAAGUGAGGGAUGCCCUGAAGAAGAAAGACCUUGACUUUGCUGAGUUGCAGAAAGCGGCUUUAGAGAAGAUCAAGCUCACAGAUGAAAAGCUGGCUUCAGUUACCAAGCUUGAAGAAGAAAACACCAAUCUGAAGGCUGCUCUUGAUGCUGCCAACAAGGAGGUCAGUCGACUAAAAAGUGACAAGAUUGCCCUGAAUGACAAGGCCAGCGAGUUGGAGGGAAAGAAGAACGAUCUGGAGGCUUAUCUGGGUGGACUCGCCAAGAAGUUAUUCCUCAUGCUUGAAGGUAAUCCUUUGUAACAAACAGACGUUUCAAUUGUGAUCUCCAAUUGUUGUCUUGAAUCGGUGGUUGUGCUUGCAGAAUUUUGCCAGAACUUUGAAGAGGAGACUGGUCGGCUGGAAAUAAACCUAGAUCCCAUCAACUCUCCCGUGAAAGAUGAAGUCGCCAUGAAUGUGCUCCGGCUUGAAUCUCGCGUUGCUGCCGUCGUCGACUAUCUUGCAAGGCUGAAGGUCGCAACUUCUCGCAUCGACACAACACUCUGGCCAAGAGAGACGCUCCAGAACGACCUCGAGUCUCUGAUGACUCGACUGAACGAGGUCCCAAGUCGAGUGCAGGAGUGGAAGAAGUCUUCGGCCAGGUGUGGUGCGGAUGUUGCUCUGUCUCUGUUCCGCAUUCAUUGCAAGGAUGCUCGAGAGGACAAGCUGGUGGCCCUUAGGGUGGCUAACACCAAGAAGCACGAUUUCCGAUCCUUCAUGCAGACGUUCAUCGCCGCCGCCACUCGAAUUGCAGAUGGAAUCGACCUGGACGAGUUUGUUGCGCCUUCCAGCCCUCCACAGGAGGGGUAAAAAACUUCUGAGCUUGAUACUUUAAAUUUGCCUCGGUAUGCCGAGUGAGUUUUGUAACCGACAAACCUUAACAGGCUUAGCGCCUGAGCACUUUCGGUUCCGUUAGGUGUUAUCCAAACUUGGAUUCAACGUUGAAUAUGUUUGCAUUUGGUUUGAGGUGUCUUUUGCAGGUUAAAGCGAAGCGCUUAUUGCAAUCGACUUGUUCCCCAAUACACUUAGGAGAACACUAUACUGCAGCUAAGCCCCCGAGUGAGAGGUUUGCUCUCCACUCGGUAGGAUUUCAGAUACUUAUGUGAGCACUGGGCUGCAGCUAAGCCCCCGAGUGGGAGGUCUGCUCUCCACUCGGUAGGAUUUUCAAAAACUUAGGUGAGCACUGGGCUGCAGCUAAGCCCUUGAGUGGGAGGUCUGCUCUCCACUCGGUAGGAUUUUCAAAAACUUAGGCGAGCACUGGGCUGCAGCUAAGCCUCCGAGUGGGAGGUUUGCUCUCCACUCGGUAGGAUUUUAGAUACUUAGGCGAGCACUGGGUCUGCAGCUAAGCCUCUGAGUGGGAGGUUUGCUCUCCACUCGGUAGGAUUUCAGAUACUUAGGCGAGCACUGGGCUGCAGCUAAGCCCCCGAGUGGGAGGUUUGCUCUCCACUCGGUAGGAUUUUGUAUUGGUGGUGUAGCUCGGAAGGAGAGGGUAGCAGUCGACCUACACCUCGUCCUCCUUGCAGAGCGCAUGUUGUAUUUGUGGCGUAGCUUGGAAGGAGAGGGUAGCAGUCGACCCGCACCUCGUCCUCUUUGCAGAGCGCACAUUGUAUUUGUGGCGUAGCUCGGAAGGAGAGGGUAGCAGUCGACCUGCACCUCGUCCACCUUGCAGAGCGCAUGUUGUAUUUGUACUUAGGCGAGCGCAAUGCUGCAGCUAAGCCUCCGAGUGGAAGGCUGGCUUACUACUCGGUANNNNNNNNNNNNNNNNNNNNNNNNNNNNNNNNNNNNNNNNNNNNNNNNNNNNNNNNNNNNNNNNNNNNNNNNNNNNNNNNNNNNNNNNNGUGUUUGUACUUAGGCAAGUGCUAUGCUGCAGCUAAGCCCCUGAGUGGGAGGCUGGCUCACCACUCGGCAGGAUUUUGUUUAAACUUAGGCGAGUACUUGGACUGCAGCUAAGCCUCCGAGUGGAAGGCUGGCUUACCACUCGGUAGGAUUUUGUUUAACUUAGGCGAGUACUUGGACUGCAGCUAAGCCUCCGAGUGGAAGGCUGGCUUACCACUCGGUAGGAUUUUGUUUAACUUAGGCGAGUACUUGGACUGCAGCUAAGCCUUCGAGUGGAAGGCUGGCUUACCACUCGGUAGGAUUUUGUUUAACUUAGGUGAAACGGAUUCGCAUCUAAGCCCGCGAGUGGGNNNNNNNNNNNNNNNNNNNNNNNNNNNNNNNNNNNNNNNNNNNNNNNNNNNNNNNNNNNNNNNNNNNNNNNNNNNNNNNNNNNNNNNNNNNNNNNNNNNNNNNNNNNNNNNNNNNNNNNNNNNNNNNNNNNNNNNNNNNNNNNNNNNNNNNNNNNNNNNNNNNNNNNNNNNNNNNNNNNNNNNNNNNNNNNNNNNNNNNNNNNNNNNNNNNNGGUAGGAUUUUGUUUAACUUAGGCGAGUACUUGGGUUGCAGCUAAGCCUCCGAGUGGAAGGUUGGCUUACCACUCGGUAGGAUUUUGUUUAACUUAGGUGAGUACUUGGACUGCAGCUAAGCCUCCGAGUGGAAGGCUGGCUUACCACUCGGUAGGAUUUUGUUUAACUUAGGCAAGUACUUGGACUACAGCUAAGCCUCCGAGUGGAAGGCUGGCUUACCACUCGGUAGGAUUUUGUUUAACUUAGGCGAGUACUUGGACUGCAGCUAAGCCUCCGAGUGGAAGGCUGGCUUACCACUCAGUAGGAUUUUGUUUAACUUAGGCGAGUACUUGGACUGCAGCUAAGCCCCCGAGUGGAAGGCUGGCUUACCACUCGGUAGGAUUUUGUUUAACUUAGGUGAAACGGAUUUCGCAGCUAAGCCUUCGUGUGGGAGGCUGGCUCACCACUCGGUUAGGAUUUUUUUUACAAACUUAGGCGGAUCGGAUUCGCGGCCAAGCCACCCACUGGGGGAUUGUUUUAUAUGGACAAAAGUAAUAACAAUUACUAGGAAAACUAUAAAGCUCUUGUCUUUGAUAAAUAAACUACAGGAGUACUUUUAUAACAACUCAUCCGAGUGAAUUCUUAAGUGUAAAAGGGGCGGAGAAGCUUCGCAUUCCAAGAUCGGGGCUCGUCAAUCUGAUGCUCGACAUUGUAAAGACGGUAUGCUCCAUUGUGGAGAACCUUGGUGACGAUGAAUGGACCUUCCCAAGAAGGAGCAAGCUUGUGUGGUUUCUGCUGAUCCAAUCGAAGAACUAGAUCUCCUUCCUGGAUGGCUCGACUCUUCAUGUUUUUAGCGUGGAAGCGACGCAAGUCUUGUUGAUAAAUGGUCGAUCUGAUCAGAGCCAUCUCUCUUUCUUCCUCUAAGAGGUCGACUGCAUCCUGCCGCGCUUGUUCUGCUUCAGCUUCGGUGUAGAGCUCGACUCGGGGAGCAUUGUGGAGAAGGUCACUCGGCAAGACUGCUUCAGCUCCGUAGACCAAGAAGAAUGGAGUUCUUCCAGUCGACCGGUUGGGCGUGGUCCUUAACCCCCAAAGCACCGAGGGAAGUUCGUCGACCCAUGCACCAGCCGCAUGCUUGAGAUCACGCAUCAAACGGGGUUUCAACCCUUUGAGAAUCAAACCGUUGGUUCGUUCUGCCUGCCCAUUCGACUGUGGAUGGGCGACUGAAACAUAGUCGACUCGUGUGCCUUGAGAUGUGCAAAAAGCUCUGAAUUCUUCGGAGUCGAAGUUUGACCCAUUAUCAGUGAUGAUGUUGUGCGGGACUCCAUAUUUGAAUAUCAGUUCUCUGAUGAAGCUGACAGCAGUACCGGCGUCGAGGUUCUUGAUGGGUUUGGCCUCAAUCCACUUGGUGAACUUGUCGACUGCUACCAGCACAUGGGUGAAACCGCUUCUGCCUGUUCUCAAAGGGCCGACCAUAUCCAGCCCCCAUACUGCAAAGGGCCAAACAAGUGGUAUGGUCUUUAAGGCUGAGGCGGGCUUGUGUGACCUAUUGGAGUAAAAUUGACAUCCCUCACACUUGUCGACUAUCUCCUUUGCCAUUUCAUUCGCUCUGGGCCAAUAAAAACCAGCUCGGUAUGCUUUGGCCACGAUGGUCCGAGAAGACGCAUGAUGGCCACAGGUCCCCGAGUGGAUGUCGUUGAGAAUCAUUCGACCUUCCUCCAGUGUUAUGCAUUUCUAGCUGACUCCAGUCGCACUUUCUCUGUAUAACUGACCCCUCAUGACGGUGAAGGCUUUGGAUUAGCGGACGAUCUCCCGAGCCUCUUCCUCAUUCUCUGGGAGUUCUUUUCUCAAAAUAUAGGCGAUAUAGGGCACUGUCCAAUCGGGAGUGAUGACCAAAACUUCCAUGAUCAAGUCGACCACAGCUGGGACCUCGACUUCAGUUGGAUCUGUGGCACUUUCGGGCUGCGGGACUCCUUCCGUGAAAGGAUCUUCUUGAACCGACGGUGUGUAAACAUGCCCCAAAGACACGCCACUCGGAAUGGCUUCCCUCUUGGAACCUAUCUUCGCGAAGUCAUCGGCUGCUUGAUUUUUCAGUCGGGGAACAUGAUGGAGCUCUAACCCUUCGAAUUUCUUUUCGAGCUUCCUCACUGCAUUGCAGUAUCCAGUCAUGGCUGGGCUUCUAACGUCCCACUCCUUCAUCACCUGAUUGACCACCAAAUCUGAGUCGCCAUAAACCAUAAGGCGCCGUACGCCGAGUGAAAUGGCCAUGCGCAACCCAUACAAAAGUGCUUCAUAUUCUGCUUCAUUGUUGGAGGAAUCAAAGUGGAUUCGGAGCACAUAUCUGAGCUUAUCUCCUCGGGGAGAAACCAAAACUACCCCAGCACCAGAACCAUUUAACAUCUUAGAGCCAUCAAAGAACAUGGUCCAAUGCUCCGAGUGAACUUGAGUCGGCUGCUGCUGUUCAAUCCACUCGGCAAGGAAAUCUGCUAUAGCCUGGGACUUAAUGGCUUUCUUUGCCUCAAAUUUGAUAUCAAGGGGAAGGAGUUCAAUCGCCCAUUUAGCCACUCGACCAGUUGCAUCUCUGUUGUGCAGAAUCUCUGACAAUGGAGCGUCGCUAAUGACUGUAAUGUCAUGAUUAGAGAAAUAAUGGGCAACCUUCUUCAUGGUCAUGUAGAUCCCAUAUACGAGCUUCUGAUAAUGAGGAUAUCUUUGCUUCGAUGGGGUCAAAACUUCAGAGAGAUAAUAUACUGGGCGCUGAACUUUGAAGGUUUUACCUUCUUCUUCCCGCUCGACCGUAAGUACUGUACUGACGACUUGUCCUAUGGCUGCAAUGUAAAGCAACAGAGGCUCUUUGCUGAUUGGAGAAGCAAGCACCGGCUGGGUGGAGAGCAGAGCUUUUAGCUCGGCAAACGCUGCAUCAGCUUCUGGAGUCCACUCGAACUUGUCUGCCUUCUUCAUCAGUCGGUAAAGAGGCAACGCCUUUUCACCGAGGCGAGAAAUGAAUCGACUUAAUGCGGCCAAGCAUCCAGUAAGCUUCUGGACAUCGUGCACACGCACAAGGCGUUUCAUUCAGAGUAUGGUGCUAACUUUUUCUGUAUUAGCAUCGAUUCCUCGCUCUGAAACGAGAAAACCGAGUAACUUUCCGCCAGGCACUCCGAAUGUGCACUUUGAUGGAUUGUGCUUGAUAUCAUAUCUCCUAAGAUUGGCAAAUGUUUCAGCUAGGUCAGUCAACAGGUCGGAACCCUUUCGUGACUUGACCACGAUAUCAUCCAUGUAUGCUUCCACAUUCCGACUGAUUUGAGUGAGUAAACACUUUUGAAUCAUUCUCAUGAACGUGGCUCCAGCAUUCUUGAGACCGAAUGGCAUGGUGAUAUAGCAGAAGCACCCGAAUGGAGUGAUGAAAGCUGUUUUAAUUUCGUCAGGUCCAUACAGACGGAUCUGAUGAUACCCGGAAUAGGCGUCUAAAAAAGACAAUCUCUUGCACCCCGCAGUCGAGUCGACAAUUUGGUCGAUGCGAGGGAGAGGAAAAUGAUCUUUCGGGCAGGCCCGAUUGAUAUGUUUGAAAUCAAUGCACAUGCGAAGUGAGUUGUCCUUCUUGGGAACCAUGACGACAUUGGCGAGCCACUCGGAGUGGUAUAAUAUAUCUCUCAGAUAAACUCUCCUGCAAGGAGUCGAGCCACCUCCUCGCCAAUGACUUUUUUCUUCUGAACGGCGGACCGUCAAAGAUGUUCCUUAACAGGUUUCGCUUUUGAGUCGACUCUAAGGCGAUGCUCAGCCAGUCCCCUGGGAACACCCGGCAUGUCAGCUGGCUUCCAUGCAAAGAUGUCCCAGUUCUCACGGAGGAACUGGAUGAGCGCUUCUUCCUAUUUAGAGUCGAGUGUUGUGGAAAUAUGGGUCGGAGCUGCGUUGGGGUCAGUCGGGUGGAUAUGAACUGGCUUCGUCUCCCCUGACGACUGGAACGCUGACUCUGUGGCGGGCUUCUUGGCCCGCAGCAAAUCACUCGGAUCUGCAUUUUUCUUAUAUUCCUCUAGCUCAACCACUGUUAUUUGGGCAUCUGCGAUCUUUGAGCCUUUCUGGAAACACUCUUCUGCCUUCUUCCGGCUGCCAGUGAUAGUGAUCACGCCCUUGGGGCCAGGCAUCUUUAACUUGAGGUACACAUAACAUGGUCGAGCCAUGAAGCGGGCAUAGGCUGGUCUUCCCAAAAUAGCGUGGUAAGCGCUCUGGAAAUCCACGACUUCAAACGUCAGCUUCUCCUUGCGGAAAUGCUUCGAGUCACCGAACACUACAUCCAGAGCUAUUUGGCCGAGUGACUCAGCCUUCUUCCCAGGAAUGACUCCGUGAAAACUCAUGUUGCUAGAGCUGAGCCUGGACAUCGGAAUGCUCAUUCCCUUGAGCGUCUCUGCAUACAGUAUAUUCAACCCACUGCCGCCAUCCAUCAAGACCUUCGUCAGUCGAGUGCCUUCGACGAUGGGGUCGACCACCAGCGCUUGCCUCCCAGGGGUGGCAAUGUGAGUGGGUGAUCGGAUUGGUCGAACGUAAUGGGAGUUUGCGACCAUUUCAGAUAACUUGGCGUCGCCGGGGCGACCAUAUUGACCUCUCGGUUGAUCACUUUCAGUUGACUUUUGCUCUCUACGUCAGCAAAAAUCAUCAGGGUGGAAUUGACAUGAGGGUACUCUCCAUCACUGUCCUCCUUGUCCUCAGCCUUGUCCGACUCCUUCUCCUUGUCCUUGGGCUGUUUCCCUUGAAACUGCUGGAUUAAGAGCUGGCACUGGCGAGUGGUAUGUUUCGGGUAGAUGAAGUUACCCUCCUCAUCUUUCUUCGUGUGGAUGUGACAUGGUAGAUCCAUCACGUCAUUACCUUCUUUAUCCUUUACCUUCUUGGGGUUCCAAGAUCCUUUGGGAUUCCCUUUGAAUUUGCCCUGAGUCAUGGCCAGAGCCUCUCUAGGAGUAGCUGGCUCGGCCUUCCGCUUCUGUUUCCGACUGGAGUUUCCCUUUUCCGACUGACUUGGCUUAUACUUGCCACUCCGGUGCCUGUCUUCUUCUUCACCGUUGGCGUAUUUGGUGGCAAUCUCCAUCAUUCGACCUAGGGUCAUAUCUCCGGUUCGACCAAACUUCAGGCUCAACUCUCUGUUCUUGACUCCAUCCUUGAAGGCGCAGACCGCUUGAUGGUCCGACACAUUCUCCACGGUAUGAUGCAAGGUGAUCCAUCUCUGGAUGUAAUCUCUGAGUGUUUCACUCGACUUUUGUACGCAGACUUGCAGCUCCGCCAGUCCGGCCGGUCGCUUGCAAGUUCCCUCGAACAUCCUGAUGAACACUCGGGAAAGAUCUUCCCAGGUGUAAAUGCUGCUAGGAGCUAACUGAUUCAACCACGCCCUGGCCGAACCCUCCAGCAUGAGUGGCAAAUGCUUCAUGGCCACCUCAUCAUUACCACCACCAAUCUGUACCGCCACUCGGUAGUCUUCAAGCCAAGUUUCAGGCUUGGACUCUCCGGUGAACUUACUUACCCCAGUCGCCAACCUGAAAUUGGGGGGUACACUGCGGCUCUGAUGGCUCUGCUAAAGCAUUCUGGACCUGAAACAUGGACUCGGCUGCUAGUGGGCACAUCUCUAUCAUGGCCACCUCUGUGAGCUCUGUUCCGGUCGACCAAACCUUGCACGAUAACGGAUCUCGCGUCAAAGCCUAGUUCUCUGGGAUCGAUCGGAGCUCUCCGCCCAACACUGAGCUGGCGCCUGUCAUCUUGCUGCCGAUGGACGUUAGACCCACUUCUCGGGGGAGGAGUGGGCACUCGACGCCUAUCAUCACGAUCAAAUCGGUCAUCAUAGUGGUCUCGCCGGCCUUCACGUCCCACGCGCCUCGGAGGCGACCUUGGGCUGUGAGCCGACUAUACAGUAUUCGUAGCGACGGAUCCACUGUGAAUCCUGUUGCGCGACUGUGACACAACUGAAUUCUGAUCUCCUGCCGCCCGGAGCAAAUCCCUGAUCUGCAUCAAGCCUCUUCCAGCCUCCGACUAGGAGGGCUGAAUUGACUCCGCUAUGCGGGCUGCAGCUGCCAAAUUCUGAAUCGGGGUUCGAUAUACCUGAGUCGGUUGAGGAAAGAGCUGACGUCGUCUGGAGUCAGGUACUCGUUGACGCGCAGCUCGUCGAGUGCUCACUGGAGGUUCUCCAGUCGAGUGCGUUCAGCCAAGUUGGCCAAACGCGCCUCUUCCAAGGCACGAGCCUCAGGAGUUUCUCCUGCGAUGGGAGUAUGCAGGGCAUCCAUGUUUCGGCGGCGAAGAUCUUCUCUUUGCUGAGAAGUGAGUGGCUCGGGUUGAUACUCUUCGUGGGCCUGAGCGGGGUCGCCUCCAUCGUCCAUCCCGUCGGUGCGGGGGAAACCGGGAGGGCUACGAGGCCCGUUGACCAUCAGGACCUCCGCCGGUGGAUCACUGCUGUCGCACUCGGAUGCAGUCUCCACGGAGCCAGUCGACAGAUCGAACAGGCCGUAGAGAGAUUCGUCGGGCUCUAUUGCCGCGACUUGGGUGGUGGCCGAUUGGCGAGCCACUGCGUGUCUCACCCAUUGCUGAAGCCUCGACCGACCGGAGCGCUUGCACUGGCGGGAGACAGGGAGGGGGGACGGCACAGGAGUCGACCGGUAUGGGGUCGACGGCUGCCGCAGCAGGAUGCCAUGGACACAUGCCCGAAAGUGCGUCGCCCCGCGGACGGGGAGCGCGUCGAUGUCGAGUGGUGCCUCCUGGAGCCAAGCGGAGUCGUCGGCGAUGAAAGCGAGCGCACCGAGACGGAUCUCGCAGCCCUCGAUCAGAGCUCCGCCAGAAACCAUGAUGAAGGCAAUCGGACAAAUUGCAACUUCUCCAAAAAGUCGCUAAGACACCUGCCCCAUGGUGGGCGCCAACUGUCGUGGUUCUAAGUCUGACAGUAGAAUGGGGGGUAGGUAUGGAGAGGCAAGAUCCUAGCUAUGGAGUAGUUGUACACACGAGUGUUUAGCAAGUUCAGGCCCUUCUCGGAGGAAGUAACAGCCCUACGUCUCGGAGCCCGGAGGCGGUCGACUGGUUUAUGUGUAUAUGAGUUACAGGGGUGCGAACCCUUUACACUGAGGAGGAGGGUGACUUAUAUAGAGUUUGCCAGGCCCCUCCGGCCCUCAGUUAUGCAGGGUUUAAAGUACAUUAAGACAGGGGGUUACUAGUAACGCCCUCAUAAAGUGCUAUGAAGACUAUUAAAACUACUUAAUGACAGACCAUUGCGUGCUGAGUGACUUUAGGUCUCCUGGCCGUCGAGUGGUUAGCUUCAUGGUCGAGUGGCUAUCUUCAUCGUCGAGUGUCCUUGGGUUCGUCGAGUGAAGUCCCUCUUGGUCGACUGGAAGGUAGCUUCUUCUAAGGGUGUCCUUGGGUAUGGUAUCCUAGACAGGUCCAUGAUCCUACCCUAGGUACAUAACCUCAUUAGGGGGGUGAUUAGACUACUUGACCAAUUAAAAACUUAACCUUUUCCCAAUUUUAGAGUUUGGCAGAUUUUAGCUAUCUUAGGACAAGUCAAGCAAUCAUCACACAAUUCAAGCAAGCAUGCAAAGAGUAUAUAGGCAGCGGAAAUUAAAGCAUGCAACUUGCAAGAAAGUAAAGGGAAGGGUUUGGAGGAUUCAAACGCAAUUGGAGACACAGAUGUUUUUGGCGUGGUUCCGAUAGGUGGUGCUAUCGUACAUCCACGUUGAUGGAGACUUCAACCCACGAAGGGUAACGGCUGCGCGAGUCCACGGAAGGCUCCAGCCACGAAGGGUCCACGAAGUAGCAACCUUGUCUAUCCCACCAUGGCCAUCGCCCACGAAGGACUUGCCUCACUAGCGGUAGAUCUUCACGAAGUAGGCGAUCUCCUUGCCCUUACAAACUCCUUGGUUCAACUCCACAAUCUUGUCGGAGGCUCCCAAGUGACACCUAGCCAAUCUAGGAGACACCACUCUCCAAGAAGUAACAAAUGGUGCAUUGAUGAUGAACUCCUUGCUCUUGUGCUUCAAAUGAUAGUGUCCCCAACACUCAACUCUCUCUCAUAGGAUUUGGAUCUGGUGGAAAGAUGAUUUGAGUGGAAAGCAACUUGGGAAGGCUAGAGAUCAAGAUUCAUAUGGUAGGAAUGGAAUAUCUUGGCCUCAACACAUGAGUAGGCGGUUCUCUCUCAGAAAUGGUAAGUUGGAAGUGUAGGUUUAGUCUGAUGGCUCUCUCCAUGAAUGAAGAGGAGGUGGAGGGGUAUAUAUAGCCUCCACACAAAAUCUAACCGUUACACACAAUUUACCAAACUCGGUGGGACCGAAUCAUUAAACUCGGUCGGACUGAUUUAGUAAACCUAGUGACCGUUAGUGAUUUUCAGUGGGACUGACAUGCAUCUCGGUGAGGCCGAUUCGGUUAGGGUUAGGGCAUAACGUAAUCUCGGUGAGACCGAUUACACAAACUCGGUGAGACCGAUUUGGUAAUAAGCUUUCCAGAGAGUUGGUCAGGUAAACUCGGUGGGACCGAUUUGCCCUUUUCGGUGAGACUGAAAUGUUACAAAAAGGAAACAGAGAGUUUACAUUGCAAUCUCGGUGGGACCGAUCGCUCACUUUGGUUAGACCGAAACGUUACGAAGGGAAACAUAGAGAUCGCAACCCCAUCUCGGUGAGACCGAGAUCCCUAUCGGUAAGAACGAUUUUCUUAGGGUUUGUGGCAGUGGCUAUGACUUUUGGAAUCGGUGGCGCCGGAUAGAAAGAAUCGGUGUGACCGAUUUUGGCUUUAGGUUUAGGUCAUUUGUGGAUGUGGGAAAGUAGUUGAGGGCUUUGGAGCAUAUCAGUAAGCACAUGAAGCAAGAGGCUCAUUAAGCAACACCUCAUCCCUUCUUGAUAGUAUUGGCUUUUCCUAUAUACUCAAUGUGAUCUUGGAUCACUAAAAUGUAAAAUGAAGAGUCAAUCCUUUGUCCUUAGUAUUUUGAGGGAUCCACUUUCAUCAUCCAUGCCAUGCCAUUCAUUGAGCUUUCCUGAAAUAAUAGUCUUGGAAUAGCAUUAGCUCAAUGAGCUAUAUGUUGUUAUGAAUUACCAAAACCACCUAGGGAUAGUUGCACUUUCAAUCUCCCCCUUUUUGGUAAUUGAUGAAAACAUAUAGAUCAAAGCUUUGACAAAUGAUAAUAAAAUUUAAAUAACAUCGUCGCUUUGAGAAAUAUGUGAUAAGCAAGAGCUCCCCCUAAAUUUGUGCAUAGUUUUAGAUUUGCUUUGGACUGAAAAUGCACAAUGAAUUAGGCUCAUGGGUUACCCUUCCAUGUCACAUACAUCUUGGUGGAGCGCUCAAAAUAAUAAACAAUGAAUACAUGCACUCAUCACCAAGCAUAGUGAGUGAUCACAUAACAUAGAUAGGAUAAUAUCAAGCAUGCAUAAGUGUAGCUUAUGAUCAAACACAUGAUCAUCAAUGUCUCACAAGCAUAGUAUCUCAACCAAAAGCAAACAAAGAUUGAAAAACCACCAAAUAAAGCAAGAGAGAACAAAAGCAACACUCUCUCUCUCUCGAAGCCUAUGAUCUAUACAUUUUUCUCCCCCUUUGGCAACAAGUUACCAAAAAGUUCAUAGAAAAUGCAUAGUGCUAGAUCGACUCUCAGGCUUGAUCUUCUCGUGGUGGUGUCCUGAUAACUCCAAGGAUGAAGGCUUCAGUUGAUGUAGAGGGUGCUGGAGUUGAUGCUGAAGCUGGUUGCACUGGAGCUGAAGGGGCAGUGGCUGGUGCUAAAGUUGUUGCUCUAGUGUCUGUCACUGGCACUGCAACUGACCUCUGGGCUCUGGGCACUCUGGCAAACUCAUUGGUGGUAGUCUUUCCCUUCCUCUCCUGCAUGUCUUCCUGCAGCUGCUCCACAACUGACUGAAUCUCAGUUACCUUGACAUCUAGAUCAUAGAAUUUUUGUUCCAUGAUUCUUUCCAGGCUCUCCUGGUUUUGAGUUAGGGUGGCCAACCCCUUCUCAAUCCUCAGAGAUGAUGCUAUCAAGUAACCAAGCUGCUCCUGUUUGGUUUUCAAGAAAUAUUCAGAUGCCUCCUCUUGAGUUGGCAUCUUGGCAGCCUUCUCCCUCUUUGCCUUCUCCUUCUUCUCCUGAGCUUGAACUGAUUGUGGAUCAUCUUCAUUCAUGACAACCUCAUUGUCCUCAAAGUCUGGAUAAAGUGGAAAGUGUUCCUUAUCCAACUGAUAUUUUCCUGUGCCCAUCUUUGAGUUUAUCAAUUCUUGAAUUUGAGGUGCAUAUCCAUAGCUCCUCUUCUAAUCUGCUGCAGUCCUUUUUAUGGUUUCAACUAUAAGGCUCAUGACUUUAAUUUUUGUGGCACAUCAAAUAAAUGCAACAUAUUGAUGGCAUGCCCUCUGAUCAUGUUAUGGUCACCAGACUUGGGCAACAAAGUGUGCCUCAGAAUCCAAUUUAUAUUUAGGCAGCCCUGACAACAGAAAAUGGACUGAUCCAAAAGUGAAAGUCUCUAGGGCUUUGUCUGGGAUCUCCUUGUACAUGUGUGCCAUGGUAUUGUGUCCCAUUUUCUUCUUGGCAUAUACAUCCAGAUCAUCAUCAUUUUCCUUUGGGGCAUUGAUCAGACUUGCCCAUUCUUCUACAGUGGACUGGUACCUUGUACCUUCAGACAUCCAAACUAUUUUUCCAUCUGGGUAAAAGUGUGCUGUGGAGUAGAACUGCAUGAUAAGCUCAUCAUUCCAGUUGGUGAACUUCUGUCCAACAAAAUCUGCAACUCCACAGGCAACAAAGCUAUCUUUCACUCCAGGAUAGUGUUGUUCAUUUUCCUUGAUGAAUUUCCAGUCAACCCACCUCAUGUCACAGACUAUGGGCUUCUUGUCCAACAGAAUUGUUUCAUAGAAGUCCUGCUGUUCCUUUGUGUGGAACCUGUAAUCAACAGCAAUUCUUCUCCUUGUGGCAUAUGGAUCUGCCAUCCUCCAUAUCCUCAAUCCUGAGUCCUUCCUGAUUCUCAUGUCCUCUGCCACGGGAUGGGCAUCAUUGUGAUCUGGUAUCUUUGGCUUGAGUUUCCUUAGAACCUGUCAUACUUCAUCUUCCUCCUUAGCAACCUCAGGCACUGGGGCCUUGUUCUUCUCAGCAGCUGGAAUACUCAUGGUAUUCCUCUUUGGUGCAGACUUGGCCUUGGGGCAGCUUUGGGUGCUUCCUUGGGCUUAGAUGUUGCAGCCCCAGAUUUAAUAGCAUCACCCAUAAGCUUUGGUGCCUUUGGUGCUGGUGCAGAAAGCUCUUCCUCUUCCAUCAUGGAAGGUUGCCCAACAACUCUGGCCAUGGUCUUCUUGACCCUUUCCUUCCUCUUCUUGCUUUCAUCAGCUGGCUCUUUGGGAUCAGGAUUUUCAGGCAGUUGAGUUGAUGCUCUUGCCUUGGGCAUAGGUUGCCUUCUUGCAGGCCUUUUAAUCUUCAUGCCUAGCUUUAUAUCCUUUGCUGAGCCAUAUUCCUUAUUGAGCACCACUUUCUUGGAAGCAGCCUCAUCUUCCUCAGCUUUGUAAUCUUCAUCCUCUGAAUCUGAAGUUCUUUUCCUCCUUUGCCUAGUUGCAGCCUUAGGCAAAUUGCUAGGAGUACUUCUGCUCCCUUCAUCUGAAGUUGAGGGACUAGUGCCCUCACUCAAGUCCAUCUGCUCUUCUGACAUGUUCUGGCUGUCACUUUGAUCAGACAUACUGCAAAAGCUGACUACUGACCCUGUGAAGAUUUAUAGAUGAGAUAGAAAAGAUGAGCAUCACAAAAUGCAGAGGUUUUUGCAAAAGAAUGACUCAAAAGUUCAGUCUUAGUUUUCCACAGAAAGCAUUUCGGAUCCACUGAUUUUCAAACUCGGUGAUACCGAAGCAGUUUUGGAACCUAAACUGAUGAUCUCGGUUGGACCGAGUUUCAGUUCGGUGGUACCGGGACUGCUAGGGUUUCACAGAAUCCUCAAAUCGGUUGCACCGAUUAGUAAUUCUCGGUCAGACCGAGAGUCACUAGUGCAAUGGCAUAAGCCAAAUCGGUGAGACCGAGUUUUUCAACUCGGUGGGUCCGAGAUGGUUUUGGCGGAAACCUAACCCUAAAAAUUUGAAUCACAUCUAAUCUAUGAACUACUUUGGCUGGAUAGAAGAGUUUCAAUUGUGGCAAGAAUCAAUAUGAAAACAAUGUGCCAGGAAUCAGACGUGGAUAGCACAAAGAUUAAGUCCAUACCCUAACUUGGCGGUGGACUUGCUACAGCGGCAACGGCGGGGACGAAAUCCGUUGACGGCGGCGGAGACCAGCGACAGGAGGCUGCUGGCGACGAGGAGACGAUCCGGAGACCAUGAUGGCACAGCGAGCUGUUGCGCGGGUGAAGGGUUUCGGAGAAAUUUCCAAAAUUUUGCCCGUGGCUAUAUAUAUAGGUCGACCCUGUCGGUGUGACCGAGUGGAACAACUCGGUGGCACCGAGAUGCAUAACUGUGUUCAGUUACAGCAAAUCGAUGAGACCGAAAAGUUCAAAUCGGUUGCACCGAGAUUGAAAACUCAGAUCAACUUGAUGAUCUCGGUAGGACCGAAAUGGAAGGAUCGGUCAGACCGAGAAUCACUAAGAGGUUAUGGAAGUUUAAGUCUAUGACGAAUCGGGGACUCCGAGUGCUCCUCACACAGAGUGGUUCAAAUCUGACUUGAUCAAAUUUUGUGAUGUAGCAUGAAUAGAGUUUGAGACGAGAAAAGCAUAGAUAGCUAAAGAAGGUUCUUAGGCAUUCUGGUCCAUCCACUUGGCACAAAGAAAAGAAUCCAAACAAACAAAACAACAAGUGGAUGUCCUUGAAUGAGUAAAAUAUGCACCAACAUGCUCACACAAUAAGAUGGCAAUUGAAAUAUGUGGCAAACCAUGCACAACCAAUUCUAGCAUCUAUCAAACCAUUGGCGAUGACUAGGUCAUCUAUAUAUGAGUAUAUUGACUUAGGAGUCAAAUGAGAACAUUUGAUCAUAGGUCAUACUCAUCGUUUAAGCUCAAGUGGGGUUACCACUUUUACAUAAUGCAUUGAUAUGUUCACACCAUUAGAGUUGCUUUGACUCAAUUCUUAGAGUUAAGCUCCCCCUAGAUGUGAGAUCCCCCCUUAGAGGGAUGAACUAACCUUGGGUUUUGUCGAUGAUGACUUCAUGUAGGUGUUGAAGAUGUAGAUGCUCAAUGUUGAUGUAGAUCAUUUGGAGCAAUCCUUUGGAGUGAGUUGCACUUUCAACUUGCCUACAUGGGUUAGUCCCACAAGGAACAAACAAGAAUAUCCAUAGACAUAGAGUGAUGCACACACAAGAUGAUGUCCAUGAAAACAUUAGGUUACCUUGUCCCUUGCCUUACCAACAAGAGGGUUUGUGACUCCUUGAACUAGUGCAAGAUGUGAAAGUUGAUUGCACUUGUUCUUGCCAAAAUGAUAUGAGUGAAGAAUGUUGGCGGAGUCACCAUCAAGAACUCUCUAGUUCUUCUUCUUCGGGAUCCACAUCAUCUUGAUGGGAAUCCUUGGAGUUGUAGUUGUACUUGAUGAAGUAGAACUUGACGUAGUCUUGGGGACCCAACUGAACGAGGCUUUAGGUGCUUCUUCAAAUGCAUCAAUCUCUUCUUGAAGCUUGUCCUUGCCUUUGUUCUUGUGGUCUUGUGGUGGAAGAUCAUCUUGAUCUUGUGUCCCCUUGAAGGAAGUAGGAUUAUACUUCUCUUGUUGAGGAAAAAACUUUGUCUUGGGGUAUUGAUCUUCUUCCCACUCAACUCCAUUGGUGUUGAACUUUCGUUCAAAACCAACACCUUGAUUCUUCCGGUGCCUUCCUUGCUUGCGUACAAUUUCCUCGAAUUGCUUACUCCUGGCAAGGAUCUUGUAAACACCUUUCUCUAUAAUUCCCUUCAAUAAACUAUUUUCUUGCUCAAGUGUAACUUGGCUAAGAGAAUCAUUAGUGGAAUCAAGAGAACUACUAGAAGCAACAACAUUGGAUUUGACAUUAUUAUUGUUACUACUAGAGGAAGUAUCUUUCUUGUACUUGUUACUAGACUUGACUUGAGGCAUGUAAGUAGAUAAGAGUAAACGCUUGCAAUGUAAGAAGAACUUUUCUUGCGGAGAUCAUCAUUGAUUGCCUUUAAGAACUCAUGCUCUUGCUCAAGAUUGAGCUUUUCAAAGCGUAACUUCUCAUGAGCCCUUAAAAGUUCUCGAUGAUCUUCGAAGAUAGUUUCAUGAGCCAACUUAAGAGUGUUUAGUUCUUUAGUUAGAAGCUCAAUUUUCUCCUUAUCAUUGUCAUUCGUUUUAUUAGCAUGAUUAAUUAACGUUUCAUCAUAGUAUUCAUCACUAGAGUUGUCAACAAGUAAACCAUCAUCCACAAGCAAGUCAUCUUCAUCACUAUUGAAAUCAACAUACUCAGGAUGUGUUACCUUUGGACCUUUGGCCAUGAAGCAUCUUCCAAUUCCUUCAUUUGGUGAAUCAAAUAUGUCGUAGGAGUUGGUUGACACAAGUGCUAGACCGGCAACUACUUCUUCUUGAGUAUGUUCGGAGUCGGAGUGAUAGCAUCUCUCGGAGUGAUUGUCGGAGUCGGAGCUGGAUACCCAUUCACCAACAUGAGCUUGAUGUCUCUGUUUUGUGUAGCUCCUUGAUGACUUGUCCUUUCUUUCUGAAUCCUUGCUUCUCCGUGAUGGUCUUCGUUCAUAACGAUCAUCUCUACUCCUCCUAUCUCUUGGUGGUGAUUCUUCUCUUUUGCUUCUUCUUUUUGGAGAAUCUUCUCUUCUUUUGUAGGGUGCCGUACACUCAUUGGAGUAGUGUCCAGGCUUCCCACAAUUGUAGCAAUUGCACUCUCGACUAGAAGAUCUCUUGUCAUGAUAAGACCUUGACUUGGAGCUUCUUUCUUUGCUUCUACUCUUGUAGAAUUUGUUGAAGUUCUUCACCAUUAAGCUUAAUUCUUCAUUGAAGGUUUGUUUCUCACUUGAUAAUGUGGGGGCUUCACUUGAGGCUUUGUAAGCACCACUUGACUUGUUGUGAAGUUCCUCCUUAUCCUUGAGUGACAUCUCAUGAGCAACAAUUCUUCCAAUGACUUCUGUUGGCCUGAGAUUUUUGUAGUUUGGCAUCAUUUGGAUCAAUGUGCACACAGUAUCAUACUUUCCAUCCAAUGCUCUUAGGAUCUUCUUGAUGAUGAAUCUGUCGGUCAUCUCUUCACUCCCUAAGCCGGCAAUCUCAUUUGUGAUAAGUGCAAGCCUAGAGUACAUUUCAGCGACACCUUCACCAUCCUUCAUUUUGAACUUGUCAAGCUAACUUUGGAGCACAUCCAACUUGGAUUCCUUGACGGAUUCGGUACCUUCGUGCAUAUUAAUCAAAGUAUCCCAAAUUUCCUUUGCAUUCUCAAGACGGCUGAUUUUAUUGAAUUCUUCGGGGCACAAUCCGUUGAAGAUGAUAUCACAGGCUUGAGCGUUGUAUUGCAUCAUCUUCAAUUCUUCCGCAUUCACUUCACAGUUCGGUUCUCUCCCAUCAAAGAAUUCACCUUGCAACCCAAUACAAAUAAUUGCCCAAACGGCGGGGUUAUGUCCGAGAAUAUGCAUCUUCAUCUUAUGCUUCCAACUAGCAAAAUUAGUACCAUCAAAGUAAGGACCUCUACGGUGAUAAUUUCCCUCGCUAGAUGCCAAACUCUCCUAGGUUGUGAAACCAAGGCUAUGACCACCAAAAGCUAUGGAAAUCAAAGCAAAUGGAGACCAAAGCUCUGAUACCACUUGUAGGACCUAGAAGUAAGUCUAGAGAGGGGUGAUUAGACUACUUCACCAAUUAAAAACUUAACCUUUCCCAAUUUUAGAGUUUGGCAGAUUUUAGCUAUCUUAGGACAAGUCAAGCAAUCAUUACACAAUUUAAGCAAGCAUGCAAAGAGUAUAUAAGCAGCGGAAAUUAAAGCAUGCAACUUGCAAAAAAGUAAAGGGAAGGGUUUGGAGGAUUCAAACGCAAUUGGAGACAAAGAUGUUUUUGGCGUGGUUCCGAUAGGUGGUGCUAUCGUACAUCCACGUUGAUGGAGACUUCAACCCACGAAGGGUAAUGGCUGCGCGAGUCCACGGAGGGCUCCACCCACGAAGGGUCCACGAAGUAGCAACCUUGUCUAUCCCACCAUGGCCAUCGCCCACGAAGGACUUGCCUCACUAGCUGUAGAUCUUCACGAAGUAGGCGAUCUCCUUGCCCUUACAAACUCCUUGGUUCAACUCCACAAUCUUGUCGGAGGCUCCCAAGUGACACCUAGCCAAUCUAGGAGACACCACUCUCCAAGAAGUAACUAAUGGUGCGUUGAUGAUGAACUCCUUGCUCUUGUGCUUCAAAUGAUAGUCUCCCCAACACUCAACUCUCUCUCAUAGGAUUUGGAUCUGGUGGAAAGAUGAUUUGAGUGGAAAGCAACUUGGGAAGGCUAGAGAUCAAGAUUCAUAUGGUAGGAAUGGAAUAUCUUGGCCUCAACACAUGAGUAGGUGGUUCUCUCUCAGAAAUGGUAAGUUGGAAGUGUAGGUUUAGUCUGAUGGCUCUCUCCAUGAAUGAAGAGGAGGUGGAGGGGUAUAUAUAGCCUCCACACAAAAUCUAACCGUUACACACAAUUUACCAAACUCGGUGGGACCGAAUCGUUAAACUCGGUCGGACCGAUUUAGUAAACCUAGUGACCGUUAGUGAUUUUCGGUGGGACUGACAUGCAUCUCGGUGAGGCCGAUUCGGUUAGGGUUAGGGCAUAACGUAAUCUCGGUGAGACCGAUUACACAAACUCGGUGAGACCGAUUUGGUAAUAAGCUUUCCAGAGAGUUGGUUAGGUAAACUCGGUGGGACCGAUUUGCUCUUUUCGGUGAGACCGGAAUGUUACAAAAAGGAAACAGAGAGUUUACAUUGCAAUCUCGGUGGGACCGAUCGCUCACUUCGGUUAGACCAAAACGUUACGAAGGGAAACAGAGAGAUUGCAACCCCAUCUCGGUGAGACCGAGAUCCUUACCGGUAAGACCGAUUUGCUUAGGGUUUGUGGCAGUGGCUAUGACUUUUGGAAUCGGUGGCGCCGGAUAGAAAGAAUCGGUGUGACCGAUUUUGGCUUUAGGUUUAGGUCAUUUGUGGAUGUGGGAAAGUAGUUGAGGGUUUUGGAGCAUAUCACUAAGCACAUGAAGCAAGAGGCUCAUUAAGCAACACCUCAUCCCUUCUUGAUAGUAUUGGCUUUUCCUAUAGACUCAAUGUGAUCUUGGAUCACUAAAAUGUAAAAUGAAGAGUCUUGAGCUUUUGAGCUUGAGCCAAUCCUUUGUCCUUAGUAUUUUGAGGGAUCCACUUUCAUCAUCCAUGCCAUGCCAUUCAUUGAGCUUUCCUGAAAUAAUAGUCUUGGAAUAGCAUUAGCUCAAUGAGCUAUAUGUUGUUAUGAAUUACCAAAACCACCUAGGGAUAGUUGCACUUUCAGCUACACUUCUGCACUGGCAUUGUUUGUGUAUUCUACUUGUUGGUAAGAUUAAAUAUAUAUAUGAUCUUUUUUAGUAAAUGGUGGGCGAGGGAGAUAAGAUGCAGAAUGCUACAAAAUGAACCAAUCCCUCUUCCCAUAAUACAAGAGUGUUUUGAAUACUGGUGUACUGUACAAAACGUUCUUAUAUUAUGGGACGGAGGGAGUAGCUGUUAAUGUAAGUACAGUGAUAGACCACGUUCAAUCCUUACAAGAGGACUGCAGAGCUAAACCUCUUCAAAAGCAUUGGGUUGAUUCUAAAUUUGUGUAAGAGUCCAUAUGGAUCUUAUAAUGUCCACCAAAUGGACGAUUACGAGGCUAACAUGUGCAGUGAUGCUACAUAAUCAAACAACUAUGAAAGUAAGUAUGGUCAUACAGGGCAAGAGGUACUCACAAGAGCAAUGCAGUGUGCAGUAUAGUUGCGAGAUUCUGUGGUCCCUUGAGAACGAAUGUUCUUCUGCUAACAGUUUUCGUACAAGUGAGACAUUAAGGCAAAUGCAGAAAUGUAGUUCAAAUUGUGAUGUGGUAUCAUAGACAGUACCUUACGCUACAGUCCGAGACCAAUGUGUAACAGGAUUAUUCCAGUCACCGUCGGAUAAAUGUAGCACCGGAGACUUUACAGAAAUUUCAUUCAGAGGCUUGCCAUCAAAGUGCGCUUGCCUCAGGUAGGAACGAUACUUCAUCAAUGAGUGCUUGAAAAGCGCAACCAACUCUUGCUCGUCAUCACAAUCCAGUUUGCUCCUCGCCUAUUUAAAAGAAUGAAAUCUUGUGUCUUCUGUCAGCAGAAACAUAUGCAGUAAUGACCAUGAAUAAUAUUAGUACAUUACUUACGCAUAAGUUACGGAGGAAGACUGGAAAUUGUUCUGUGUCUGCGGUAUAAUCUUUCCAUGAAGGAAAGAUGCCCACAAAGUUCCUGACAACAACAUAAGCUUCGUCUUCUAAACUGGGAAGAAAUGGAACAGGGGUCCUAUAUGCUGCAAUUGGGGCUCUCUCUGGUUUGAAAAGGGAUUUGGCAACUGGAUUUGGUGUACUCUUUGCUGGAAUGGGGCUUUUGUGUCGUACAGCUGGUGCUAUGUCAACUGGCAUAAUCAUACUGUUUGCUGCAGUUGGGGUCUGCUGAGUUGGGGCAUCAGAAAUUACCAGUGUAGUAGGGCUAGAGUCUGCUAGAGUUGGGGUAUUUUGUGGGUCAGGUGAUAUUGCAACUACACCUAAUGGGCUAUUUGAUUUAUCAGGUGCCACUACCUUUUCCAAAUACUUUGCUUGUGCUCCUCCACGAUCAGCAAUCGCCCUCUUCCUUUUGAACGUCUGAUACACAAGAACAGCAUUUGAAUGGAUAAAUAUGGUAUGAUGACAGAUGGAAUAUGUACUGAAAAUGGAUAGGCAGGGCGUAUUCACAUACACGAUGUGUAAACUAAGCUAAUGGUAGUUCAACAAAGUAGAAGCAAUGCAAAGCAUCAGUUGCAAGAUAUGUGCGAGCAAUGUAACCUUGGAAAGUUAGAGCAAGUACCUUGAUGGGUGAAUAAGAUAAGGCAUCUUCCUCUGACUCCUCCACUAGGGAGAUACAUUGACUUAGGUCUCCCUAUAGCUCAGAAUCACUGUUAGGAUCAUAUUCUGAGCAUGAAUCUAUAGGUGGAGAGCGUUUGCAUUGCAUUGCAUCCAGACUUGAUUUCAGUCCCUUAAUGCCAAGUUUGACGACCAUGGCAUUGUUCUGCUUUAUUCUUUUCAUGCGAGCAAGCUCAUAAUCAUUAUGAUGCUGUUCAGAAUCUAAGAUUCAUGAAAACAUAAAAAGUAGUCAGAUUAUCUAUGGAAUGCAUUGUGGAUUCAACUCGGAGAGUGUCUCCCUAUAAACCCCUGCAUAUGCAAAGUUCACCUCCCCAACCAUGCUGACCAGACCACACACAGAAAUACAAACCCCUUAUGUUUGUAUAACAGGCAGACACACAUGUCAAAACUGAAGUAGGAACAUUAGAAUCAUAUGAAAUUCGUAUUUGAACAAAUAAAUUAAGAAAUUAUGAGUGGCGUAAUGUUUAACUUCAAGGGUGGAGUGUUGGUAGUGCGACACAAAGCAAGUAGGCAGAUUGUAUUCCAUGUAAAAGAUCGAAACCUAUGUAAAAGCUGGAAAUGGCACUUUCUUUCUAUACAAUGCAGUGUUCGUUACCCACACAUGAUGGAAGAGAUCACAUAGAGAAAUACUAUUCAGUCAUGUCUACGGUUCCAGUAUUUAGAAACAGGGUGGUCCACCCUAAAAGAAUAUUGACAACAAAUAUGACAAGGCAAGCAUAGAUGUAGUAAAUCAAUCAUUUACUUGUGAGCUUAUUAGGACAAGUAUGCAGAAUUGUAAUUGCAGUAAGAGACCGUCCAAAAUCUGAAUGAAGAAGUUUGUCUAGCACUUAUUGUUUGCAAUUAAUCGACGUGAAUAAUUGGAUAUUAUAUCGAAUGAGUAAGAAAGACAAGUAAAAUUGUCAACAAACCUGGCUUGUAGUAGUAAUAUGGGUCGAUGUCACUACGACCAACAAUCCAAAAUGACUAGUUUCUGUUCCGAGGGCCAGAAUUUUGAAAACCCUCUGAACUUUAGAGGUACUAAAGAUUACCGAAAUACAUCUGAACCAUUAAGUGUAGGUAGCACUGAGCACACAACAAACCCUAAUGACAGUCCUGCCUAAUGAGUAAUGAAUCAAUUAGAAAAUGGGUGACGAGGAGUGGCUGCUGAGUGUUGAGGACGUAUAUCAGGAUAAAUCGGGUUGGCUUGGUGGGUGCUGCACGCCUGAGCGCUGAACGGACUGGGAAGGUAGGCACGGCGGCGCGCCCGGGCAGCGGUGACGCUGUUGGGAGAGCGGCUCCUGGCCUCCUAUUAGUCCGGCGUCUCCUCCUAGAGUCAUGCCGUCCGGGGACAGCAAGUCGCCAGCGAGGUAGGCGGCUGGGGCGAGUAGAGAUCGGAAGCGCGCAGCAGAACAGAGGGGAAUCGGGGCCUGGGACAACACAAAAUCCUAGGGUGGGCCGGCCCACCGUGGGCACCCUGUAGAGAUACACACCCGAGCGGCGAACAUGCAUUUUCGAAACUAGUUUAGGAACAUUUAGCUGACCAAUUAAACAACUCUGUUUUAAUAAUAUCAGAUUCGUAUUUGAACAUCUAAGCUUGUUUAGCUUGAUGGGUGGAGUAGUGUUAUUAUGCCACGAAGCACAUAUUCUGAUCGUAUAGUGAUCAUAAAAGGGGGAAACUCUAAGCAUAUUUUUUGAGCAAAAGAGGGUUUCCCCUCCGAUUUCUAUUAAGGAAACCACCAUGGAACCAACAUGAUCAAUUAAACCCUAAGCAUGAUCAAUUAAACCGUAUUAUGUCUGUGCCAUGGCAGAUUUGAAGGUGCAAACUGGAGAAAUGAUAUUUAGCAUCCAUUGUUUGCUUCGAACUAAGAACUAAAUUCUAAGCACUGAAAAGAAAGUAGCGUAACCAAGUUAAGAUCUAUUUUUUGGUUGAGAUCAAAAAGUUGAGGAGAUAUGAAGUACCACCUCUCUUGCGGUGCCGUGUAGGCAUCGGGGGUGCGAUGGCUGUCGGUGGCGUUGAAGCAGAUCUGCGACGGUAGACGGGUGCAUCGAGGGAUAAGUCCCGUUGCGGUGGAAGAGAAGGUCAUUUGAGCGGCCCCGGCAAAGAGGAUGACGACGCCGAUGAAGCGAGAGGACGCGAUGCAAGGCUAUUGGUCCGUCGCCGUGGAUGAGAAACGUCCAUCUCUAGUAGUGGACUACGCGGUCUUGGUAGGCGCCGACAUGGUGGAGGACGGUGGCGAUGGAUGUGGUGGAGGAUGGCGGCGAUGGAUGGGGUGGCGGACGGAGGCUGGUGUGGGCAUGGGGUGUUCUAGCGCGAACGGUGUAUGAAUGGGAAAAUGGAGGGAGAGGUACGGGGAACCAUGUUUUUGGGACGCGCCUGUCUGAAAUAGGGAAAGUUACAAACUUAGCCCCCGUUUAAAAUUUGGACGUCUCGUCGGUUGGGGAUAGGACGGUAAUCUCGCAUCUCGCCAAUAUUUGCCCAGAGCGAUUUCGGGCGAGGAGAGGGUGGUUGGCGCCCAUGGUUGGCGCCCACGGUGUAUGAACGGGGCUGACAGGUAGGGCGGUUGUGUCACGUCUGAGUGAAGUUACAAACCUGUCCCUAUUGAAAAUAUUUGCCUACAUCGAUUUCGGCCGAGUCGAGUUUGUUUUGCUGCCCACCAUGUAUGAAUGGGGAAUGGAGGGAGAAACAGAGGUCUUUCGGACGAGCUUGAAUCAAAUGUGUUUUUCCGCCCAUGUUUGACGCCCACCGUGCCGGAAUGGGCUCAGAGGCGGUUGUGUCACGUCUAAUUGAAGUUACUAACCUACUCCUAUUUAGAGCAGUGGAAAUCGGGCCAAUGGAUUGUCUGUAUAAUGGGUAGACAGUAAUUUCCAUCUCCCAAACACUUGGCUUCGGGCAGCCGACGUGGGAGUGGACAUUUUGCUGCUUCUUUCGAAUUUUGGGACAAUAAGCAUCCACGUUUACCCUGGCAACUAAAUUCGAAUCCACUUUGUAUUCCUAUAUGAAUCUUUAUAAAUCAUUCUAUGUGUUUUUAUAUAUCUUCAAAAGGACGACAAAGAUGUAUUCCACUGUCAUAUAUGAAUAUGGUUUACAAAUGCCGAUACUCAAAUUCAGAAACUAGAAUCCAGUUUAAGGUGAAUUCGAAUAUUUGGAACACUUCAUGUCCAACUCAAAUGUCACACGCAGCAUAAUGUGUACUCCCAUUUAGAUAUGUAAUAAGCGAUGUAUCAAGAUUCAAAUACCGAGUCAAUCAACCAAGAAUGUACAGAACUAACAGACAUAUAAACACUUAUAGAGUAUAUGGAUCAAUAAUAUCAACUAACAUACAUAAGCCAGGCCGCUGUACUUUUUUUUGGCUACAACAGCAUCCUUUUUUUAGCCAGCAUCUUGGCCCUUUCCGAUGCGUGCCACUUAUGGUCCAUCUAUACUACUACUAUUGCUGAAUGCACAUUCAGCCCGAUUGGCAUAUUUGUAGGUCUGGCACAGAAAUCCAAAUGAAAUGUCUCAAACCAAAAAACAAAAAAAAAA
This 55651-nucleotide long non-coding RNA is filed under the name Triticum aestivum (bread wheat). RNAcentral describes it as "long non-coding RNA (TAES_LNC026727)". The record is from RNAcentral. Lineage: Eukaryota; Viridiplantae; Streptophyta; Magnoliopsida; Poales; Poaceae.